RNAcentral lists this long non-coding RNA (51982 nucleotides) under Capsicum annuum. RNAcentral's name for it is "long non-coding RNA (CANN_LNC018214)". The record is from RNAcentral. Lineage: Eukaryota; Viridiplantae; Streptophyta; Magnoliopsida; Solanales; Solanaceae.
GUAUAUUUUUGUCAUCAUUUUUAGCUGACAUGACACAUUUUAUCAAACUUAUUAGCUGACAUGAGCUUCAGUUUAUGUAAUAAACACAAAAAGUGUCAAAAAUAUGUUAAAAUUGAGUUCAAGGGAAUAGGACCCUUGUGAAGUCGAAGUGUGUUGUAGCAACUUUAGUCAUAGUUCAGAGAUACUGAAUGUUUAUCUCAGUUAAAACUUUGGCUCGAACAUAUAAAACUUCAAAUCCAGAAUCCACCCUAAAAGAACAUCUCUCUUGAUUUUAUUUUAUUUUUUAAACUUAAAAUAAAGUUAAUUGAAUCGUUGCUCAAAUUAUAAGACAUGAUUAGCGAGUGGGUUAUUCCACAUUUCCACUAUCCAAUUAAUGGUCAAUAAAAAUUUCACAAGCCAUAACAACUACCAAAGUACAAUGCAUUAAUUUCUUUCAUUAAAACUCCAUUAGAUUCUUCUUUAAAUGCAACACACAAUAAAACAUGCAAUGAAAAGCUUUACUCCAUUAAUUAUGCUUAUGUAAUAAACAACAAGCCCAACGUGACCUUUUUAAAGUCUAUUUUUGAUUUCUUAUUUGUUCGAUAUUUUUAUUAGAGUCUGAAUAAUUUUGAAUUUAUGUAGAAAAUUAUAUAUCCACGGUAAAAGUGCUCCUUGACAAAUUAAAGAUGAUGAGUAGAAUUUAACUUGAAAAUUCUAAAUAAGAAUAAGAAAAUACUUACCACUCGAUCACGAUCAUUUUCGAUUGAAGCAUAUAACAAUACUCACUCAAUUCAGUUUUACCUGUCGCGUUUCUCUUUGUUUGACUAUUCUUUGAAGCUAUUCAUAUUUUACAAUUAAAUCUAGAUGUUUGAAAAUUGUAACAUAAAUAUAAUAAGUUACAAUUCUUCUCAUUAUUAUGAUGAUAAAAUAUAUCUUAAAAUGAAACAUGACAAAUAAAAAUGAACGGAGAAAUUAAUUUUUAUGCACUCUCUCCCGUUCAAAAUACUUAUCACCUUUCUUUUCAAGCAAUACUAGAACAUUAACCACAUUUUAAAAUGCAUAUUUUUUAUCAUAUUAACAUGAGAAAAGUGGUAUUUUUGUGAUAUCUAUGAUUCUUAUAUAAUUAGUUUAUAGUAUUAUUUUGUAGAUGUCUUGUUUUUUCUUUAUUAUAUAGCAGUUUAUCUGUCCUGAGUUGGGAUCUAUCAAAAAUACCCUCUCUACUUUUUAUGAGGCAGGUAGUGGUAUGGCCCGCAUAUACUUUACCCCUCGACCCCACUUUAUAGAAAUACACCACAUAUGUUUUUGUAUAUUAAUUUGAGAAAAAUUACAAUUUAUACUACUACUUUCUAGUAUUUCUUCCGUCUCAUUUUAUAUGUCGUCAUUUUUAUUUGAUUCGUCUAAAAAAGAAUGUCAUUUUUCUUCAUUUGAUAAUUAUUUAAUGAUAUUAUUCUCAUUUUAUCCGUAUUGGAUCCCACUUAAUAAAAAAAAAUAACUAAAAAGUAAAUAAUAAGGUAACUUUAAAAGGUCAAUUUUGUAAACUAUACAAAGUCAUCACUUACUCCCUAUGUUUAAAAAAAAAUGACCCUUUUUUUUUUUUGGUAAUACUUUAAUUUCAACUUUCUACAUGACAUAUUUAGGACCACAAGAUUAAAAAAUAUUUUGAUAUAUUUUGACACAACUUUAAAUUAACACCACAAGAUUCAAAAGUCUUUUUAUUUUUGCCAAGUCAAAAUAGGUCAUUCCUUUUUAAACAAAAAAAAAAUAUAUCUUAAAUUCCAUGUCCGGCUAAAAAGCAAAGCAAAAAAUGGAACAGAAGGAAUAUUAUUUAUGAAUUUUUGAGAAAAGUAAUUAUCUACUCUCAAUUUUCUACCACCAUAUAUUUCCCUUUCAGCUCAAUAUAUAACGAAGCUCAGUCUCAUCAGUGUCACAGUCCCACACUUUAUUUUCUUCCCUUCAAGUCCUUCAACAAUGGCAACUUCCACAUCCUCAAUUUUCUUCUUUGUACUCUUAUUCACCUCAGUUCUUUCACGAACAUCUCUGUAUAGUCCCUCAAGAACAACAAACCUCGACGUUUCUUUCUCCAUUAAGAACGCCCUCAAUGCUUUAACCCCAGUCGAUUCGUCUCUGAAAUCUGAAGAGAACAAAGUUUCUUCAUCGUCAUCAUUUCUAUCAUUAAGUCUGCAUCUUCAUUCUCGAAGAGCAGUUGGUGGUAAUUUACAUGAAAGUUACAGCUCAUUGAUGCUUGCUCGACUUGAACGUGACUCAGCACGAGCUAAAUCACUUCAAAAACGAGUAGAUCUGACAGUACAUGAUAUCAGGAGAGCGGAUCUCAAGCCAGUUGAGACCGAAUUCUUCCAAGCUGAUCAAGAAAUUGAUGGACCAAUAAUCUCAGGGACAAGCCAAGGAAGUGGUGAGUACUUCUCACGUAUUGGAAUUGGUCAUCCUGUAAAGCAAGUGUACGUGGUACUAGACACUGGUAGUGAUGUUAGUUGGAUACAAUGUGCACCCUGUGCUGAUUGUUACCAGCAAGCCGACCCAAUCUUCGACCCAAAUCUGUCAAAAACGUACUCAUCUUUGUCAUGUGAGACAUCACAGUGUAAGUCACUCGACGUCUCACAGUGUCGCAAUGACACUUGCCUAUACGAAGUGUCGUAUGGCGACGGCUCGUACACAGUGGGGGAUUUUUGUACGGAGAGCAUCACGUUCAGUGGUGCUUCUUCUUCUGUUGAGAAUGUAGCUAUUGGUUGUGGACAUAACAACGAAGGUUUGUUCGUUGGUGCUGCUGGUUUAUUAGGCCUUGGCGGUGGUUCGUUAUCGUUCCCUUCGCAGAUAAAGACUUCUCAUUUCUCGUAUUGCUUAGUAGACCGUGAUUCGGAUUCUACUAGCACUCUGGAGUUCGGCGGGGCCACCCCGCCGAAUGCAGUGACAGCUUCGAUCAUACGCAACUCGAAGCUGGACACUUUUUACUAUCUUGAUUUGACUGGACUUAGUGUAGCAGGGAAUUUGCUUCCGGUAUCUCAGGAAGCAUUUAAAGUGAGCGACAAUGGCGACGGCGGUGUGAUUAUAGACUCCGGUACGGCGGUAACGAGGUUGCAAACGAGCGUGUACAACACGCUCCGAGAUGAGUUCGUUAAGGGUACGAGGCAUUUAAAGUCGACUAACGGCGUCGCGUUAUUCGACACGUGUUAUGAUUUGAAAGCAAUGGAAAGUGUUGAGGUGCCAACGGUAUCUUUACAUUUUUCUAACGGUAAAGAAUUGCCGUUACCGGCUAAGAAUUACCUGAUACCUGUUGAUAGUAACGGUACGUUCUGUUUUGCCUUCGCUCCGACGUCGUCGUCGCUAUCGAUUAUUGGUAAUGUACAACAGCAAGGGACACGUGUCAGUUUCGAUUUGAAAAAUUCACUCAUUGGAUUCUCAUCUAACCAAUGCUAGUGGUAGUACUAAUAGGUCUAAUUUGUUUAUUUCCUGUUUUACCCCUUAGGUAGAAAGUAAUUUUCAGUUUUAGACUGGUUGGGCCCACUUGGUAUAACUGUAACGUGAUAAAGUGGGUCAUGGUUCAGUGUGUGUGUGUUAUUAUUGCAAUUUCAGUGGGGUAUUGGGUUUUUGUAUAGUAAAUUGUUGAUAGUAUGAGGGGUAUUAAUGGCAAUCUAUGGAAAAAGAAAGAGAAGUUAUGUUAUGAAUCUUUUUAAGUAAAAUUUAUUCUUUUCGAAUCUCACUUUAUGGGCGGGUAUAUCAGUUGUGGACUUCUUGUUGUAUUAUGAAUGGCAAAAUUAGUUUAUGAAAAUGUGAUUUGAUCAACUAAAUUUUAUUUGCUCAAAUUCAAUUGAAUCCGCUAAUUUGAUACUUUUACCAAUAAUUAGUUACGUGAUUAGAUUUGACUUGGUCCUAGGUGAAAAAUUAUAGUGCUCUAACACUCAUUAAACAUGAUUCCUUCGUCCUAUUUUACUCGUUCAAACUUGAUAUUGCACAUUGAUUAAGAAAAACAACUAAUAAUAUUAAUACUUUAUCAUAAUAUCCUUAUUAAAUGAUGUUUACAUUUUAAUUUUAAAAAAAGAAAUUAAUACUAAGGAUAAAAAAGGAAAAAAAUGAUCUUGUCUUAAUUAAUGAAAAAUGAUAAGUAAAAUAAGAAAUCAAAUUAGAAAAUUUAAGACGAGUAAAAGGAGAUGGAGAGAGUACGUAAUAGGUAUAUUUAUAUAAGAAUGUACAAAAAUUGGUAUAGAAUAAAAAAAACGUUUGUGAAAUCAAGAAGAUAACUAAAUGCUUUGAUUUUUAUUCAUGUUAAUAUGUAUUUGAACCUCUCAAACAUUCACGACUUCUAAAUAUUGCGUCUUUAUUGGAUGUUGGUUAAAGUUUGUAAUCUCCUAACUUCAUUUGGACGCGUGGCUCAAUGUAGACAUGGUGCUGUUGUCAGUUGAGCUGAGGGUCAAUCGAAAAGAUUUUGUAUACAUUAUUCUACUCAUAUUUUACUUCGAUAAAAUUAGAUAUGUUAUUGCUUUUAGUCGGUGCUUAUAUCAAAAAUUAUCUCUCCGUUUUUUUUAAAUUAGAAUAAAUUUGCGUACGCAUCAUUUUACUUAAAUCUCACUUAAGAAAUAACAUUGGGAAUGUUAUUAUUAUUGUUGUGCAUGUGAGUAUUUUUCUUGUAGCUCAUAAAAUUGAUGAUUGUUGUGCAUGCGAGACUUUUUUUUAAUCUCUCAUGUGAAUGGAAAAUGAAGAGAAAAAUGGUGGAGGGGAGGAGACACCGAUUUGGAAAGUGUACUCCCAAAAUUGAAAAGGUCACUAAGUCUCCCACAUUGGUGGGAGAAGGGAACUUUGGAGUGUUUAUAAUAAUGAACACUUACUCCACAUGAUAAGUGAGGCAAGAAAAUAGAGAUGUCUCGCCCCGUCGCUCGCUCGCUCGCUGGGUUCGUCUUCGAAAUUGGAUUGAUCGAUGAGAUCUAUCUUUUUGGACAAACUUUAUUUGAAUUCCGAAAAAUACCAAAGGGAAAGCGCAAACGCAGUAAAAUUAUUUUUCUUUUUCUAUAGUGUUUCGAACCUCUAUUUAUACAUACAUGCAGAAUUUUCGAACUGAUGCAAUACUUCAUCGAACUGGUGCCACUGUUUCUGAACUGGUGCCACUGUUUCGUGAACUGGUACACUGUUUCGUGAACUGGUAUGCUUGUUCGGGAAAAGACAUGUUCUUUGGAUGAACGGACAUGAAUUUUCAGAAAACACACACCAUUUAAUUGAACCAAUGCCACCUUUUCAAAGAGGCAUGUUAUGACUAUAUAAACCUGUUUUCAUUCACAGGUUUAGAUACGAAAUUUAUAGAAUAAAAAAAUAUUCUUCCUGUCUUUAAAAUUACUCCAUGUGAUCAAUCGUUCUGUGCGUUCGAAGAUAUUUCAGUUGUUUGAGGUACCGCUACAAUUGAUCUGUUUGACCAUUUUAUACCGCUACAAUUGAUCUGUUUGACCAUUUUAUCCUGGGAGGAAAAAUUUCACAACCUCGGGUACAGUGAGUGAAAUUAUUUCCUUAAGAAAACUUCGUAAAUUCGGACGACUUGGUCAUUUCUGUUUCAUCUUGAUUUCUGAAAAUAAAAUACACUUCUAAGAAAGAUCACUUUGAUCUUGUGUUGACGGUAUUUUUUGUACUUCAUUGAGUUCUUAUUUUAAACUUGAACUAGUUGAAGUUGUUGUUCUGCAUAUACAGAUUUUGUGUACUCGUAUAAGGAAAUAACAAUCUUAAGGAAAUAAUUUUUAGAAUAUGUAUAGCUAGUUUUUGGAGAUUAAAGUUUUAACUUUCUACUCCGCCUGAACUUAACUAGUGAUUUGAAGUCAUAAAAACUUCAUCAUGAGUUAAAGAUCAUUCGAUUGACAAUUGGAAGUCAUAAAAACUUUAUUGUCAACUGGAAACAAGAAGAAAAGUUUAAAGUUGCUUAACUUUAUAAGUAGUAUUCUGAAAAUACUAAUUAUUAUUGUCUUAUGAUGACAGAAAAAAUGACUAACGAAAGUCAAAUGCAACAUGCGGCUACGAAUGUGGGGGCAACUAGAAUUGCUUCAAAAAGUCGAGCAAAUGCUCUGCAACCAAUGACACCUGCGGAGAAGCUCGAAAAAUUUGCGGGCAUUGACUUUAAACGAUGGCAGUAAAAUAUGCUUUUUUACCUCACCACUCUAUGCCUUCAAAGGUUCACUAGUGAGGAUGCUCUUGAGGUGCCCGAGGGAACCUCGGACAAAGAGCAUUCAUGAUUGUAGAAGCUUGAAAACACUUGGACUUCCUUUACAGAAAUUAUAUAUUUAGUGGUCUCCAAGACGACCUCUACAAUGUUUACAGUGGAACUAAGAUAUCAAAGAAAUUGUGGAAGGCACUAGAACGAAAAUACUAGACAAAGGAUACGGAAAUUAAGAAUUCUUUGUUGCAAGGUUCUUGGACUAUAAAAUGAUAGAUAGCAAAGCGGUUGUCCCUUAAGUGCAGGAAUUGCAAGUAAUCAUCUACGAUCUUCUAGCGGAAGGUUUGAUUGUAAAUGAUGCUUUUCAAGUAGCAGCGUUAAUUGAGAAGCUACCACCGAUGUGGAAAGACUUCAAAAACUACUUGAAGCAUAAACGCAAGGAGAUGACUGUCGAAGAUCUUAUUGUCCGACUGCGUAUUGAAGAGGAUAAUAAAGCUGUCGAGAGAAGGUUAAAAGGAAAUUCUGAAAUUAAUGGAGCACAUAUUGUGGAAGAUAACUAAAACAAUUCUAAGAAAAGGAAGAAAGUUGAACAAGGAAACAAUCAACCCAAGAAGAAAUUCAUGGGAAAAUGCUUCAAUUGUGGCAAGAUUGGCCACAAGUCCACGAUUGUCGAGCCCCGAAGAGAGGCAAGAAAAAGGAUCAAGCAAAUAUGAUUGACUCCAACAAAGGAUGCAAUGAUCUUUGUGCUAUGUUUUUAGAAUAAAACUUGGUGGGAAAUCCUCGCGAAUGGUGGAUGGAUUUUGGUGCCACACACCAUGUAUGUGCCAACAAAGAGUUGUUUUCAUCAUUCGCUCGGACAAAAGUAAAAGAAAUGAUCUACAUGAAUAAUUCCACUACUUCUAAGGUAGAAGGGGUAUGAAAAAUAUGCUUGAAAAUGACUUUAGGAAAGGUCUUGACACUUAACAAUGUCUUGUAUGUUCCAUAGUUACGUAGAAAUUUAAUUUCUGUUUCACUUCUAGACAAGAACGGAUUCAAAUGUGUAACCAUUUCUGGAAAAAUUAUAAUUAGCAAAGGAGAAAUGUAUGUAGGAAAAGGCUAUUUGAUGGAAGGCCUUUAUAAGAUGAAUGUAAUGACUGUUGAAAUAAAUAAAUGUUCAAAUUCUUCUUAUUUGCUUGAGUCUUAUGAUUUAUGGCAUGAACGUUUAGGCCAUGUUAAUUACAAAACGUUACGAAAACUAAUUAACUUAGAAGUUUUGCCAAACUUUGAGUGCAAUAAAACAAAGUGUCAAACGUGUGUGGAAUCAAAGUAUGCAAGGCAUCCUUAUAAAUUCGUUGAAAGGAAUUUCAAUCCCUUAUACUUAAUACAUACUGGCAUUUGUGAUAUGAAGUCAACACCAUCACGUGGUGGGAAAAAGUAUUUCAUAACUUUUAUUGACGAUUGCACAAGAUAUUGUUAUGUCUAUCUGCUAAAUAGUAAGGAUGGAGCAAUAGAUGCGUUUAGACAAUAUAAAACUGAAGUUGAAAAUCAGUUAGAUAAAAAGAUAAAAAUGAUAAGAAGUGAUAGUGGCGAAGAAUAUGAAUCUCCAUUCGCCGAACUAUGUGUAGAAUUGUCACGCCCUUAAACGAUAGUGACGGACAAGAACCGUAUACACCUACUCUACAGACACUUUAUGACGUACACGAGGUGAUGAGAUAACAACGAGCAGGAUAUUCAGUAAGAGUCACAUAUAUACACGAGGGGUUACAUUUACAAAACUAUACAACACUACACGAUGUCCAUGAAAUCUCUAGUCAGUUUAACACGCUAAACUACAAGUGACUAGUUGGCAUCAGGCCCGUCAUCCCCAACCAGAGACCUGUACAUAUAAUCAAAAUACUUGGCAUAGACUGGCUCUAGAGAGAGUUGGAGCUCACCAAAAUAUUCGUUGAAAACAACAAUGGAGCCUAAAGUGGACGUCUGCUAUCCUGAGGGUUUAAGCCUACAUUAGCAAAAUAUAGUGGGCCUGAGACGUCAGUACAUAAACAACAUGUACUGGUACGAAAGCAGACAGAAUGACAGCUGGACAAAUACAGAAGCUCGUAUGAGUCAAAUGGUAAAGUGAAAAACGUUUGAGCUAAUAAUUAACACCUAUACGAUAUGAAUUUAUAACUUAUGCACCAACCUUGUUAACAUCAUAUAUAAUAUUUAGAAAAGCAUUCAUCAUAACCUAGGACCUAAAUUUUGCCUAGGUGAUGCACUUAUCCUAAAAGUCGUACAAAUAAUAACAAGUGGCCUUCUGAAGGCAAUCUGAGGCAAGUAUAAAGCAUAUGUUGCUCAUAUGCUCACUGCUAUGAUCCCAUUUGUGUAACUGUAAUCGCAGUCUGUAUCCAGGUACGCCCUGCCCAGGGGCUCACUAUAAGGGUCUGCCCGCAGGUCAUAUAUGUCUUAUAUUGGCUCAAGUCAGGAGAAACCUGUACAUGACGUUUCAACUAACUUCAAAUACAAAUGAUGCCACAAAGGCAGGUACGCCCAGUGGUUGGGCUUGCAAUAGUGGUCUGGUCUCGAUCCUGUGCACAGAAUCACAUAGAGCGGUAUGCCCAGCAAAAUCUAUGUACCCUCCCAUCAUUAAUGUUUAUCAAAUAAUGCCUUGAAGUCCUAUGACAUAUGAGUUACGAUAAUGAUUAUUUAGCUACCAUAUACAAGUGAAACUAUAUUGUUACCAUUUACUCUUAAUGUGUAAGGGCUUUAAAUAUAGAAACUUAUGAUAAUAUAGAAGUGUCAUGGAAACUUAACACAAAGAGGGAAAGGUAGAUACUUGUAAGCUUGAUGGUAGAGCGAAGGAAUGAUAGGUAAGGCAAUAUAAAGAUUCUACUUCCGUAUUUCAUGAGAAUUAUCCUAACAUUAAUAGGAAGAAGUACAUGAUGUAGGGUGGUGUCUUAGCAGCGGGGGAGGGUUUAGCUUGACAUACCUUAGUACUUUAGUAACUAUGCUAGUAAUUCGAGCCCUAAUUAGUUUAACCCGCGGGAGUAUAGCCUUUAUCUUUCCAAUCACCAACUUCCUUUAUCCAAUAGCCAAUUCACUAGCUACAAGGAUAACAUACAGGUCCAUUAGUAACCCGUAGGAACAUUUAACAAUUCAUUUCAACAUUUUUCGCUCACGCCCGAAGUUAAUCGAAUCUAUUAAUAAGCAUUCGGAAUGAAUCCUUUAACUUGUCAACUCACACAAUUCGAUAUUAAAGAACCCCAAUCACUUAUUUAUAGUCAAUAUUCAAAAAGUAAUAGAGAAUUUACCUCUUGAAAUACAACCUCUUGAAAUUCUGUAACUUAUAUACUUUGUAAGGACUAAGAAAUUUUUCACCGCUUACAAUCUCUUCUUGACAACUUAACUAAAUUUUCCUUGUUGAUAAGAAAAAAAAGAAAGAAGCAAGAAAGAUGGAAAGGAACAGAGGACCAACGAAAUGACAUAGCACCACCUAAUAGUUGUUAUUCCCUGAAAUUCACUUCCAGUGAAAUGAAAAGUCCCCCCCUAAUUUAUGCAUAUACCACUAUUUUAUUAUUAUUAAUAGGGAAAUAAUACAAUGGGCCCCCAACUUUCUAGUAUUAGCACUUGGUGCAAUUAAGGAAGCAUAACUUAAUUUUUCUUACCAUCUUGGCACAAUAAUACAAUACACAAAAUACAAUUCCUUGCCAAAAGUGCUAAAUUAAUUUUUUUUUUUAGGUGCUACAAAAAUGGAAUCGUCCAUCAAACUACGGCCACGUAUUCACCUAAAUCUAAUGAAAUUGCGGAACGAAAAAAUCGAACUUUGAAGGAAAUGAUGAAUGCCUUAUUUAUAAGUUCUGGUUUACCGCAAAACUUAUGGGGAGAGGCUAUCCUUACAGCCAAUCGUCUACUCAACAGAGUUCCCCAUAGUAAAACGCAAUCCAUUCCUUGUGAAAAAUGGAAAGGAAGGAAACCCAACUUAAAAUAUUUUAAAGUGUGGGGGUGUCUAGCAAAGGUCCAAGUUCCUAUGCCCAAAAGGGUUAAGAUAGGACCUAAGACAGUAGACUACGUGUUUAUAGGAUAUGCUAAAAGCAGUAAAGCAUGUCGAUUUUUGGUUCAUAAAUCCGAACAUCCGAAUAUAAAUGAAAAUACGGUAAUUGAAUCAGACAAUGCUAAAUUCUUUGAAAAUGUUUGCCCAUAUAAAAUUAGACAUGAACAAUCUAGUGGAGGAUUUAAACGACCUCGAGAUGAACCAAGUGAGAAUGUACAUAAUGAAGAAAAUCCAAGACGUAGUACGGGUCAAAGAACGUCUACUUCAUUUGGAUCGGAUUUUGUAACAUUUCUCUUAGAAAAUGAGCCUCAAAUAUUUAAGGAAGCGAUGACAUCUUCGGAUUCAUCCUCUUGGAAAGAGGCAGUCAAUAGUGAAAUUGAUUCAAUCUUAAGCAACCAUACGUGGGAAUUGGUUGAUCUUCCUCCUGGAAAUAAACCUUUAGGUUCUAAAUGGAUCUUCAAACAGAAGAUGAAAGCGGAUGGUACUAUUGACAAAUACAAGACAAGACUUGUAGUAAAAGGCUUUAAACAAAAAGAAGGUCUUGAUUACUUCGAUACAUACUCACCAGUAACAAGGAUAACAUCGAUUCGAAUGUUAAUUGCCUUGGCUGCGGUAUAUGAUCUUGAAAUCCAUCAAAUGGAUGUGAAAACCGCUUUUCUAAAUGGAGAAUUGGAGGAAGAAAUUUGCAUGGAACAACUUGAGGGUUUUGUGGUUCUAGGGAAGGAGAAUAAGAUGUGUAGACUUAUUAAGUCAUUGUAUGGACUAAAGCAAGCACCUAAACAAUGGCAUGCGAAGUUUGAUCAAACCAUAUUGGCAAACGGGUUCAAGAUAAAUGAAUGUGAUAAAUAUGUUUACAUUAAAGAUACUCUGAAUCACCAAGUCAUUGUUUGUUUAUAUGUGGAUGAUAUGUUGAUCUUCAGCAGAGAUAUUCCUGACUUAAAUGUAACCAAACGAAUGCUCGAGAGCAAGUUUGAUAUGAAAGACCUUGGAGUUGCAGAUGUGAUCUUAGGUAUAAGAAUCCAUCGAAAUCCACAAGGGUUAGCAUUGUCACAGUUUCAUUAUAUCGAAAAAGUACUUGACAAGCUCAAGUAUAUGGAAUUCGGUAUUGCCAAGACUCCAUUGGAUGUGAACAUUGUACUUCGAAAGAAUGAAGGUGAAAGUGACUUGCAAUUGGAGUACGCAAGAGUAUUGAGAUGUUUAAUGUAUAUAAUGAACUGUACACGACCAGACAUAGCAUGUACUAUUAGUAAAUUGAGUCGGUACACGAGUAAUCCCAACAAAACUCAUUGGAUGGCAAUAAAAACAGUUUUGGGGUAUCUUAAAUACACUCAAGAUUAUGCUUUGCAUUACAAUAAAUAUCCUGCGGUACUUGAAGAGUAUAGUGAUGCAAAUUGAAUCACCGGAUCGAACGAAGUAAAAUCCACAAGUGGAUAUGUCUUUACUAUCGGUGGAUGAGCAGUCUCUUGGAAAUCAUCCAAACAGAUUUGUAUUGCUCGCUCUACAAUGAAAUCUGAAUUUAUCGCAUUGGAUAAAGCCAGUGAAAAAGCAGAAUGACUCUGAAAUUUCUUAUAAGAUAUUACUUAUUGGCCCAAGCCAGUGGCACCAGUAUGUAUACACUGUGAUAGCCAAGCGGCAAUAGGUAGGGCAGUGAGCAUGAUGUAGAACGGUAAAUCUCGUCACAUAGACGGAGACAUAAUACCGUUAGGGAACUUCUCUCUAGUGAAAUUAUCACUGUUGACUAUGUAAAGUCAAAGGAUAAUGUGUCAGAUCCACUUACAAAAGGCCUAUCUAGAGAAGGAGUGGAAAGAACAUCCAAAGGAAUAAGUUUAAGGCCUAGGACAAAUCAGCAUGGCGGUAACUCUAACUAGCAGACUGGAGAUCCCAAGAGCUAGGUUCAAGGAUAUCACACAAAGUUGUGUCUAACAGGUUCAACAUUGUCAAUUACCCAACUCAUUCUCAUGAUGUAGACAAUGUAUAGUAAUCAAGGAUAAGACUUAAAGUGAAAAGUCUUUUAAUGAUUAUCUAAAUUUGGCAGAUUUGACCAAAUAGUUUAAUCUAUAGGAUUGAACGUUUAGAAAUCACUUAUGUGAGGGCGAAGUGGAAGCCGCUUCAAGGAGAAUGUUAGUAAAUGUCUAUUCUCUAAGCUCUCAUUAAAUCGGGCCGUGUUCAUGUCUGAAAAGAACAAAACCGUGAGAACCAUAAACGUUAAAAGGAUGGUUGUGUGACAUAUAUUGUCUAGGUGUACAUUAAAUCUCUACGGUUCAAAGAUAUCAAAUCUACCGAUUGACCGAGUGCAUCCGAUGCAUGUCCACUACGAAAAGUUCAAAGGAAAACCCACUUAUCCAGAUGCAAUCGGUCUUUGCUUGAUGAUCACAUACUUGUUCGUAAAACUUUUAUGAAAAAUAGCCAUUCUCCAUUCAUGUGGGGGAUUGUUGAGUUCAAAGUGUGAAUGAAAAAUGGAGAGAAAAAUGGUGGAGAGAAGGAGACAUCGAUUUGGAAAGUGUACUCCCAAAAUUGGAAAGUUCACUAAGUCUCCCACAUUUGUGGGAGAAGGAAACUUUGGAGUGUUUAUAAUAAUGAACACUUACUCCACAUGAUAAGUGAGGCAAGAAAAAAGAGAUGCCUCGCGAUAUCGUCGUCGUUGUCGUCGCUCGCUCGGUUCGGCUUCGAAUUUAGAUUUGGAUUUAGAAAAUGAUAUAUCCAUGAGAUCUAUCUUUUUGGACAAACUUUAUUUGAAUUAAGGAAAAUACCAAAGGGAAAGCGCAAACGCAGUAAAAAAAUAAUCUUUUUCCUGUAGUGUUUCGAACCUCCAUUUAUACAUGCAUGCAAAAUUUUUGAACUAAUGCAAUACUUCAUCGAACUGGUGCCACUGUUUCGUGAACUGGUGCCACUGUUUCGUGAACUAAUACACUAUUUCGUGAACUGGUACACUGUUUCGUGAACUGGGAUGCUUGAUCAGGAAAAGACAUGUUCUUUGGAUGAACGAACAUGAAUUUUCAGAAAAGACACACCAUUUAAUUGAACUAAUGCCACCUUUUCAAAGAGGCAUGUUGUGGUUAUAUAAACCUGCAUUCAUUCACAGGUUUAGAUACGAAAUUUACAGAAUAAAAAAAAUUCUUCCUCUCUUCAAAAUUACUCUGUGUGAUCAAUCAAAAUAUUCUGUGCAUUCGAAGAUAUUCCAGUUGUUUGAGGUACCGCUGCAAUUGGUCUGUUUGGCCAUUUUAUCCUGGGAGGAAAAAUUUCACAACCUCGGGUACAGUAAGGAAAAUUAUUUCCUUAAGGAAACUUCGUGAAUUCGGAUGACUUGGCCAUUUCUGUUUCAUCUUGAUUUCUGAAAAUAAAAUACACUUCUAAGAAAGAUCACUCACUACUAAAAAAAUCGGUAAAACCGACCAUAAUUUGAGGUCGGAAAAAACCGACCACACGUGGUCGGAAAAAACUGACCACACGUGGUUGGUUUUAUAUUUUAAAAAAUCAAAAUAAUUAUUACAAUAAUUUUAAUAAUUAUAAUUAUUUAUUUAACAAACAAAAAUUUUUUAAAAAAAAAGAAUAAAACCCACCACAAGUGGUCGAUUUUUUAAAAAAAUUUAAUUAAAAAAUAUUUAAAUAAACCAACCACUUGUGGUAGGUUUUUAAAAAUAAUUUUUAAAUUUAUUGUUAAAAAAAUAGAUCACAUCGAUUUUUUUAAAAAAUUUAAUUAAACAUUAAUUCGAUUAAGUAUGUUGAUAACAUCUUGUGUGCUUUAGUUUGAUUAAUUAUCUAUGCUGUUAUGUAUGAGGAUUCUCCAAUUUUAUUGUAUUAUUGGGGAUUUCUUUUUGUUUUCUUGAAUCUGUUAUAUGUGCGUAUGUUUUGACGUAGUUCAUAUCGAAAAAUUAAACUAAUAAGGUAUUUGACUGUGUCUGCUCCUUACCGACAGUACUAGAAAGGAGAACAAAAUUCUAACUAGAAAGGAGGUGUAGAUAUGAAGUCUGGGACUAAUUAAAAACCACACACAUGAUUAUGAAUAGUUGUAAAUUAAUUUUUUUGGUGUUAUUAGUUGAUUUUAGUUAAUUGGUUCCUGGACCACCAGUUUAGGGCACAAAGCAACACACAACUUUAAUUAUUUUUUCUACCACUUGCCUAAUCGUUCAAAUUACCUUUUUUGACUGACAAGAAUUAUACAAAAUUGUAGCCAUGUGUUAUGUUACUAUAAUUUUAUUUUAAAUUCUAUAUAUUGUUACUUUAAAAACGAAAAAAAAAAGACUAUCAAGUCAUUCACGGAAUAUUUAUGGGUAAAAUUCUUUAAAAUGUUAAAUUUCUAGUUUUGAAAAUAAGACAGGUUCUAAGUUGAUUGAAACAGGGAUAUGAUUGGGGAUUUAGAAAAGCUUGAGCAAGAACAAUUCCAUCUAGGGGAUCUGAUUGGAACUAUUCUGAAAUAACUAUUUAAAAAUAGUUAGUGUAGUGACUUGAAAUGUGUACACUGACUUGAAAAUGGUUACGUAUAGUGACUUGAAAAUGUGAACUAGUUAAUUGAAAAUAUUUAAGUGUAGUGACUUCAAAUGCUAGUACAUGACUUGAAAAUGGUUAAGUGUAGGGACUUUAAAGGGAAUUUUUUUGUUUUAAGGUACUUGAAAUGUGGACUUGUAUUUUGAAUUUAGUUAAGUGUGGUCACUUGAGAAGUGAGUGUGGUCACUUGAGAAGUGCAUUAGUGAGUCGUAAAUGUUUAAGUGUAGUUACUUGAAAGGUGGAAUAGUGCAUUUUGUUUUGAAUUUAGGUAUUUGAAAUGUGAACUUGCGUUUUGAUUUUAGUAAAGUGUGGUCACUUGAGAAGUGAACUAGUGACUUCAAAAUGUUUUUAAGUGUAGGUACGUUUUUUCAUUUUGAAUUAAGUUUAGUUUAGUAACUUGUGAAGUGAAUUAGUUACUUGAAAAUAUUUAGCUGUAGGUAUUUGAAAUGUGAACUUUUGUGACUUGAACUAAUCACUUGAAUUUGAUUGAUUGUGUAGAUGAAAUCUGAUUAUAGUUGGAUAUAUCAACGAAAUAUCAAUAAUAGAAUGGAUGAGGCUGAGAAUGAAGUUGUGGAUAAUGAAUUAUAGUUUUUAGUAUUUUGUAUGUUUUAUAGUUUGGAUUUGGAACCUCGAUAAAUUUUGUAAAUAAUGUUUGUAUUCAUAUGGUGAUUGGUUGAUUGUAUAUUAAAUAAUUGGUGGGAAGUAUUGUAGAUAAUAAUCAAUGUUUGUAAAUGAUUGUGGUCGGCUAUAUUGUAAAUAAUUUGAUUUUUAAUUUUUGUAUUUUAAAAAGUUUCAAUAUUCUUUUUUACAAAAUUAUCAAAAAAAUCGACCACAUGUGGUAGCUUUUUUAAAAAAAUUUAAUAUUUUUUUCAUAAAAUUAUCAAAAAAACCGACCACAUUUGACAGUUUUUUUAAAAAAUUUUGCUUUUUUUUUAAACAAAAUUAUCAAAAAAAAACGACCACAUGUGGUAGUUUUUUUAAAAAUAAUUUAAUUAAAAAAUAUUUAUAAAACCAACCACAAGUGGUUGAUUUUUAUUUAUUUUUUUAAAUCGACCACUUGUGGUCGGUUUAUUUUGAAUUUUUUAAUUCUUAAAAUCAUUUUUUCUAUUUUAAUAAAAUAGUAAUGAAUUUUAAAUUAUUAUUUAAAAAAAAAAAAAUGACCACUUGUGGUCGGUUUUUAAAAAGCCACCACAGGUUUUCCGACCACAUAUUUUGGUCGAUUUUGUGGUCGGUUUUUGGAAAAAAACGACCACACGUGGUCGGUUUUGGUGGUCGGUUUUCUCCUUUUUUCUAGUAGUGACUUUGAUCUUUUGUUGAGGGUAUUUUUUGUACUUCAUUGAGUUCUUGUUUUAAACUUGAACUAGUUAAAGUUGUUGUUCUGCAUAUACAGAUUUUGCGUACCCGUAUAAGGAAAUAACAUCAAGUAGCCAAAAUCAAUUUUUUACACUUUUAACCACAUUUAAUUGAUUAUGAAACAUUAUUUUUGUUACCUCAAUCAAUAUAUCAAGUUUGAACUUUAAAUCAAUGUUCUCUUCAGUAGAAUGCGCUUAAAUCUCCAUAUACUACACUAAAAGAGAUGUUUAACGAUAAUUAGUUAAGAUAAUAACUUAAUUGUCGCUAAAUUAUAUUUUUAAAUAUAAUUAUUAGUGCCAAUUACGUUGAUUUGCCUGAAUAGAAUUUGUAAAAUGAAUCAGUUUGGACUGUUGUUUAUUUACCUAACCUCAUGUAUUGGGUUUUUUGGGCUCAUUAGUUCACCUUUAUUGUGCUCUAAUUUGUCCACAUGAAAAACUGACUUAUCCAUGCAGCAUAAUUAUGAUGGGCCACUACUAAAACUAUACUUUUGUUGGACAGCUGAUGAGUGAUAAUAAUAGGGUUAAUGCAAUUUUAUGAUCUUAAAUAAAAGAUAAUGUAAAAUGUAUUAAAAUAUUAUUUUAUCUUAUAAUUCUAAAUAUGUCAUGUGCAAUGCUGAAGGAGCUGUCGAACCUUCCUCAUAGGAGGUUUGCAUACAUCUGAUCCCCUUAGGGACUUAUUACAUUUGUCCCUUCAUCACACUAAAGUAGUGUCCGGCUUUGAUACAAUAUUUUUUACAAUUUAAAUUCAUAUCACAUAUUGUGAAAGUGGUAAAGGAGAGGGUGCAGGGGAGGGGGGGGGGGGGGGGGAAUUGCUCUUUUUCGAGUAGAUAGUUGAGUUGCUUCGACAGAUAGUCGACUACAAAAAUAGUAAUGUAAAGUUCAGAGAGUAAAGUGCUGAAAAGAAAUGUCACCAUAUAUUUUAUACUGAUUGGAACCUCUAAUAGGUCUUAUUUCAGUUUCCUUGGGUUGUAAGAAUUCUACUAGCUCUUUUUUUUGUAAAUCAAAAGUUACAAAAUUUGAAUUAAGCUUUUUCGCAUUAACUCAUACUCGUUUUCUUUUCUCUCUUUGCUACAGAAGCCUUACCAAUUAUGUGUUUCAUUUUUCUCUUUUUGAGUAACAAUAGACUACAAAAUAAUACAAUACUUAAUGAAAUUAGAUAAUAAAGCUAGAGAAAGUUGAGACAAUGUAUAUCUCUUCCUUAAUCUUCCAUCCUAUAAAUGCUAAAGAUAGAGUAACUAGCCGUUGGAACAUCUGAAAAUAAAAAGACAACUCAAAAGAUUUGAUCCUUAAAAAUGGAAUAUGAGAAUGUUAUUUUCAAGAAUAAGGUUGAUCACACUAAUGAUCCUUAACUACCCAAAAUUCCCUUUCCAUAAAAGUGCAGCGACUUUAAUGCUUGCUACAUGAUUUGGGAUCCGGCUUUUCUCCAUUUCUAUUGUCUCUAUUUUCUCCAAGUUCUUACUUGGAUGAGAGACACGUGGCAUGCGUUAGAAUGAACGGUUAAGAUUUAAUAACUAAACUAAGAUUCUAAUCAUGAUAUGAACAAUAAAUAUUUUACCUAUUUGCUUCCAACAUUUUAGUAAUUCAACAAUUAUUAGAGUUACAAAAUAUUUUAUCCACAAAUAUACUUUUAAGAAAAAAUUCUCUCUAUUUCUAUGUUUUUUUUUCUACUUCUAUUUUCAUACUCACAGUCUAUCUUCCAACUUCUUUAAGUUAAUUUUUUAUUUUAAUCAUUUGAUACUUUUUCUUUAAAAUUAGCUAUGAGUAUAAAUGGUGAACUUCAAUAUUUUUAAUAAUCAAGUUUCUUUUUAGUUAUGCGAAUUGAAUAUUUUUAUUAUAAUAUCAAUAAUGCUCGUAUUAUUAUAAUAAUUUACUAUUCAAAGAUUCAUAUUUAUGAAAAAAAGUAUUGUCGUCGUGAUUUUAGCUUUGUCAAUUUUUCUUAUAGAUAUUUUUGGGGGAGGGGGACAAAGAGAAAAAAUGAUAAGAGUUAAGAAAUUCGGAAAAGGGAGAAAUAAUAAAGUUUUUAAAAUGAUAAAGGUGUAUCUAUUAAUUUUUUUAACCAUAAAAUAUUUUUUUAAUCAUAGAGUAAUUUUUUUUUCUAGUUAAUCAUGGUUAGGGAAAAAAAAGUAAGAAGAGAGAAUUUUAAAAAAAUAUAUUUAUGAAUAAAAUAAUUUUGUACUUAUAAUUGUGGAAUUACUAAAAAUUUUGAAAGCAAAUAUAUAAAAUAUUUAUUAGUCAAAUCUUAACCAUUCAUUUUAACUUAGGUCGUGUGUCUCUCAUCCAAGAACAAACUUGAGGAAAAUGAAGAGAAUGAAAAUGGAGAGGAGCUCAAUCCCAAGAUUUGAAACUUAUUUCCUUUGAUGUAGGAUGCUAUAAUUAAUUCUUGAAGGAGUGAUAUAUUUCUUUUUACCGCAUGAACUUGAUAAGUUUUCUUUUUUGCUCUUGAGCCAAGAAUUCUUGAUUAUUUAUAUCACGUGCACCCUUCUUCAGAACAUUACUAGCUUAAAAAACUAAUAAUCCUUUUUCACUAUUUAUCCUUAUCGUCACCAUCCAACCCUCUACCACCUUAUCACAUAGUGUGUUUUAGUUUAACUAGUUUAGAUAGUUAAUAGAACAAAAAUGAUUUAUUUGAUAUUAUGAAUGAUCGAUGUGUUUUUUUAUAUUACAUUUCGACUUUUUUUAUUGUCUUUGGUUCUUAGCCGAGGGUCUAUCGAAAAAAAAAUUACUUUUUAGGAGGUAGUGAUAUGAAUUAUGUACAUUUUAUCCUUUCCAAACCUUACUAUCUGAAAUUACGUUGGAUUUUUUGUUGUUGUAUGAAUGAUCGAUGUGACUCAAUGACCUAAUUCAAUGUAUUUAUACUGCUGCGAAGUCUUGGUGAAGUCUCCUCUUAAUUUUGUUUUAUUUAUAAAUUUAUAUGUCCACACUGACUAAGACAUUUUAAAUAUCUUUUUCGAUAAUGAACUUUCAAAUUAAACUCUCUCUACAUCUUCACUGUCCCAAUCAAAUCAUAUCUAUAUGUAUUCUAAGUUACUUUCAUCAUUUUAAUUUAUUCGUUUCAUUUUAAAUUGUCCAAAAAAAAAAAUAGAUAUAGAAUGUAUUAAAAUAUACUUUAUUCUUGCGAUCAUAAACAUGUCAUGUAGAAAGAUUGAAUUAAAGAAUUGUAAAAAAAAAUGAAUUUAAAAAAUUUUAAAAAAAUAAAACGAAAAGAAUAUAUAAUUAUUUUUGUGGGCGUUUUAGAACGUCAUUUUAAAAUGUCCCUGUCCCAUGCACAACUAAGAGUAAUUAGUAUUAAUUAAUAUAUACAGACAGAAAUGUUAUAUUUACAUUAAUAUAGAAAUUAAAGCUACCAACAUGAGUUGUGGUGUGGUGGAUGAGGUUGUUCCAUCCUUAAUCAGAGGUCGAGGGUUCGACUCUGGAUAUGGAGAAAACUCUAUUGGGAGCGUUGCAUUGGGCCGUAAUGGGACCUGCAAUGCGCGAGGAUUCGACCUUGGGUAUGGAGAAAACUCUAUUGGGAGCGCUGUCACUGUAAUGGGACCUGCAACGCGCGAUCUGAAUUAAUCAGAGUUUCAAUGCGGACACCAAACACCUUAUAGGAAACAAAGAAAAAGAAAUUAAAGCUUCUAGAAUUUGUUGUUAUAUGCAUGUUCCGGUCAUUACACGUUUAGAAUAUUCAUGUUAUUAAAUUUUGUAUAAAUAACAUACUCUCUCCGUCCCAUUUUAUCCGUCUCAAAUUUUCUAAUUUGAUGUCCCAUAUUUUACUUAUCAAAACAAGACAAUUUUUUUUCUCAUUAUACCCUUAGUGUAAUUGGUUAUUCCUUGUUAUUAGCAUUCUUGAAAAAUGUUACAAAGAGGAGUACCAUUAAAAAUAUAAAUGGUGUUUUGAUAUUAGUCAUCCAUCAAUAUUGGAACUAACAACAAGACACAAUUAAGAGGAGUAAAAUGGUAAAGUUACAUUAUCAAUUAUUGUUUUCUUAUUAGUUGGUUCAUCCCAAUUCGGGACAAAUAAAAUGGGACGGAGGGAGUAAAUACCAACCCUUUUGGAAGUAAUUACACUUUCUCCCACUUUUUAAAUUACUUUACUAUCUCUGCCUAUUAAUAUACAUAACAUAGCUGACAUAUACAUAACAUUCUGUAUAUAUGUUGGGAUUUUUGUAAUAUAUUUAGGGAGUUGCGAUUUUUUGUAAUAUUGGAAACAUAAGUUAUGUUUUUGUGUAAUUUUUAGUUAAAUUUAGGCCUAACCAAUAGAUAAUCCUUAAAUUCAUGAGUAAUUAAAUUUUGUAUGAGAUAGUUCGAAUUAUAACUUGUUUCAAUUGAGUAAUUGAACACAUGAUGACGUUUGCUAUAAAGUAUUUUAAUUUUAUUGAAAGUAAAAAAAAUUGACUUGAAAUAUGUUUUGUUUUUUUAGUUAUUCUCAUUGACUUUGCAAGCCGUAAACCUCAGGCUAGCUAGAUCGUCCCAAUUGAGGCUAAUGUAAUACUAUAAUUGAAGGAAAUGUAAUAUUCAUUAUGAUUAACUUAACUACUUAAUAUAUCCUCGAAAAUACACACAAAAAAAAAUUAGAAAUUGAAUUAAAAAUAUAUAAUAGGAACAUUUGCCAUGUGUUCAAUUGAAAAUAAAAUCAGUUCGAAUAUCUAAAUAAAAUUUACCGAAAAAUUUAGAAAAUUGUGCAUAAAUUAAGCCUAAAUUUUACCUUGCUUUUCUCUUUUAAUUCAGUUUAGAAAGAGAAGGAUCCUACUUGUUGAUCAUUAUCUUUUCCCAACAAAUCUCCACAUUUUUUAAUUAGAACAAAACAAUUGGGAUUUUUUGCUUUAAAUAUACUGUCAAUGAUGGAUUCAACAUGUUUAACGCAGAAACUAUGAUAAAUAAUCAAUAAUAAUAAUGUCAUGCAAGACAAAAUAGAGUUGCUCGAAUGAUAAAUAUUUUUUACUUUCAAUUUAGAUAUUCUGGGUUUGAAUCAUAAAAAAAGCAGAAAAGGUUAAAGCUCUUAGAAAGGGAUAAAAAAAAAACUCAAAAUCCCUGAUAUUUUUAGUUUAAGCAAUUAGAAUAGCGAUGACGCUUAUUUAAGUUAAUUCUUUAUCAUUAAUUCAACAUAAUUACCAACUUAAAGUAUCAUAUUUCUAUUUUGUACUACUUUAUUACUCUAUUUAAAUUCUGAAUUAUUCUCUUUAUCGAAAAAGAUGAAACAUUAUUUUAUCAAGUUGAGGUAAAAAAGUUAUGUAAAAAGGAAAAAGUCAUUUACCUUUUGUUUCUUCCUUUUGGACCAAACAAAGAAGAUAUAAAGGAAAAGCUAUAACAAUUUUUUUUCCCCUAAGAGGGGAAACCAUUUUCAUUUUCCACUUAAUAAACUAAACAUAGGACUAGUCAAAGUGGUGAAAAGAAAAUAAAAUUUUACCAAUCAAUAGUGAGGUGGAAUGAUAAGCAUUCUGUCAUCUUUAAUUAAAAAUUUUGAACUCAAAUUCUACUGAAGAUCAAAAGUUUGACAUUGGAUGAAAAAUCGAAAAGAAAAAGGAUUAAAUAUUAGGGUAGGAUGGUUUAAUUUAAAGAGUAUAAAAUCCCUAUAAGCUAUAUAUAUAGUAGGUGUAGUUAUUGCUAUCAAUUUUAUUAAUUUGAUCAUAAAUUAGAAGAUUUAGACCAAGAACAUGAACUACUUUAAAACAACCAAAAAUUGAAGAAAAAACUCUAACUCAAACACAACAUUUGGUGCAAUUAAUUAUGUAUAAAUAACAUAAAUACCAACUCUUUUGGAGGUAAUUACAUUCACUUUCAUUUUUUUUAUUACUUUACUCUCUCUCUGUGUUAAUAUACAUAACAUAGCCGACAUAUACAUAGUAUUAUUCUGUGUAUAUGUUGGAAUUUUUGUAAUAUAUUUAAGGAGUUGGGAUUUUUUGUAAUAUUGGAAACAUAAGUUGUGUAUUUGUGUACUUCCUCUGUUUCAAAAUAGUUGACCCUUUUUGACAUGACACUUCCAUUAAGAAAACAUUUAUUAGGGAUUUAUUUUACCAAGUUAGUCUAUUUUAUCAAAUUAGUCUUAUUAAUUAUGCUUUAAAAAUAUAAAUUUUAGUAAAUGUACUUUGUUUAGUCAUUUAAUGUUGAGGAUAGUAUUGGAAGAAUAUAACAAAAUACUUUUGAUUUCAUCAAAAGGGAAAACUAAAUUGAAAUAAAUAUUUUUAGAAAAAGGGUCAACUAAAACGAAACGGAAGGAGUAGUUUUUAGAAUUCUUACUUAAAUUUCCAACUGUAAAAAUUAAAUUAAUUGAUUUGGUAUAAACAUUUAAAUGCAUUUAAAUAUUAUAUUUAUAAAGUCUUUUGUCAUCAUAUCUUAUCCAGUGACGAAAAUGAACCUUGACCAGCCUAUGUGAGAUAAAAAUAUUAUUUUUCUCUCCGUGUUAAAUUAUGUAUCGCUGUUUGAUCGGAUACGAUAUUUAAGAAAUAAAUAUUAACUUUGUUAAAGUUACAAAAUUACCCUUCUUAAAGAAAUGAGUAAUAAUAUUUAAAAUCAAGUUGGAUCAUUUUUAACUGAAAAGACAAAUAAAAAAAGGAGUAAUAGUAUUUAAAAUCAAGUGGGACCACUAAGGAUAAAAUUUUAAUUGUGUCUUUAAAAAUUUACCAAAUAAAAAAAUAUGACAUUCUUUUUAAGACGAACUAAAAAAAAUGACGACACAUAAUAUUUAACAGAGGGAGUACUAUAAAAAUGAUCACCAUCCUAUUGACUUUAUAAAGGUGAAAAAAAAACAUGUUACUAACCUUAAUCAAAUAUAUCAUAUUCGAAUUUUAAAAUGUAAUCGCCUUUUUGAUAGACGUAAAUGCUGUUGGGGUAUGAAAUUCAUCCGAAUCUUUUUUAUCGAAAAAUUACAUUAUACAUACAAAGUUAAUUUUUAUAUUUAUUUAAUAACUAUUAAAUUCAUUUACUUCUCGUAUAUUUAUUUUUUCAUAUUUUAAAUCUACAAUUGAUAAAUUUGGCCUUUGGUCUAAAGUUCUUAUGCUUUAAACGCCAUUUUAUAAUAUCAAUUUGGGUGGAAUUGAUACCUUCUUGAUAAUAUAUUGGACCAUUAGUUUAAAGAAUAAAUACACAUAUAUUUUAUUCAUCACGUAAGGGCAUUUUAUUUUAGAAAAUAUUCUUGCAUUAAACUUUCGCGUAAAAUUAAUUAUUCACAUUCUAUAUUUGUAUCGAAUUAUUAGUCAAUAAACGACAUUUAUCAUUUAUAUGCACCUUUAUCUCUAGCUAUCGUCAACUCUAUCACUAAAUUAUAGUAACUUAAUAUAAUAUGUUGUCAAUAUCAAAUUUGAAUAAGUUCUUUUUACAAGUUUUAUAUAUCGUAGUAUCUUUUUGUUUUAUUAAUGAUUGAGAUAACAUAUAAAACGAUUUACUAAUGAAAAAAAUAUGAAUAGUCUAACUAAUGAGAAAAUUGAAUAAUUCAAAGGGCAUCUUUUCCCUCUUAAUUCUUUUGGCUUUUUGAUUAUUGUGUUUUUUUAGCAACCUCUCCACCUUAAUUAAUAGCAAAGUCAAAAUUUGGCGAAGAUGAUUCAUAUUUUAAUGAUUCACUUUAGUUGAACGAUGGAUGGUUUAUCAGCAAUAAUAUUUCUACCUUUACAAGAGUGAUUUGUAAUAAGCAAAAAUGGAAAAAAAAAAAAAAAAAAAAAAAAAAAAAAAGAACUUCCAUCAAAAAUCUUAAUAAUUCAACUAAUUGGCUACUAGAACUUUCAAUUCCACUUAAUUAACCAUAUCAAUUCAUCUUAUAAUUUACUGCAGCCAUAUAUCUAUAUCUAUAAUGUAUAAUAUAUAUCUAUAAUCUAUAUCUAUAUCUAUAAUCUAUAAUCUAUAAUCUAUAUCUAUAAUCUAUAAUCUAUAAUCUAUAANNNNNNNNNNNNNNNNNNNNNNNNNNNNNNNNNNNNNNNNNNNNNNNNNNNNNNNNNNNNNNNNNNNNNNNNNNNNNNNNNNNNNNNNNNNNNNNNNNNNNNNNNNNNNNNNNNNNNNNNNNNNNNNNNNNNNNNNNNUAACUAUUUUCUUUAAUUUAUUAUUUAAUUAUUUUUAUUAUAUUAACUAGACUCCUAAAAUAUAUAAAAAGAGAAUCAGUUAAUAUUUUUUUUUUGUAUUGAUCAAUUAGAAAACUCCUAAAAUAAUAUAGAAAAAUAAACCUAAAAUAGAACUCUAUUAAGGAAAUACACAAAUAAAAAUACACAAUAAUAAUGUACGAAAAUUUUAUAUUUUACCUUAAAAAGAUAAAAAAAGUAUUUUCGAGGAUUCUCACCUCAAUAAAACAACUUAUAGCAUGAUACUUGAAAGGUAAGUCCAUAUUUUCAUGUUAAUGUAAUUAUGUAAUUAAGCAAGGAGUUAAAAUGGAGGUAAUUGGACUCUUGUCUUGUUUUCUUGACAAAACUAUCACGUCCCCUUGAAAGGUAAACCACAUAUUUUUAUGUUAAUCUUACAAUUUUUUGUGGAUGAUCUAAUUAAUAUCCAUAAUAUAAAAUAUUUUCAUGUUAAUUUUAGUUAACAUUAAACACACGUGCAUUUUAUAAUAUAUGAAAGGAGAAUUAAUUAAUAUUUUUCUUUAUACUGAUCAAUUAGAAAAAUAUUUCUAAAAAAUACUCAUAAAAUGUGAGUCUAUUAAGAAAUACUUCUAUAAAUAUUGAUAUGCACGUUAAACUACUGAAGAAACCGAUUUACUUAUUGGGAAAAUUUGAUUGAUGCUCAUUUAACUUGAUUCAGUUGCAUGUCUAGCUUGGCGGAGGCUUAAUCUUCUAACCCACAGCUUCUUCACUGUUUUUGUCAACAUAAUAGAAUUUAACGUGUGUGUAUAUAUAUAUCUUCUUUGUUUUCAUUCAAGUCAUUCUUUGGGGUAAAAAUUUCCGCUCAACCAAGGAUUAUUUUCAUCAAAAGUGAAGCUUUGUGAUCACUAUUGUAGUAUUUUAUUGUAGUUUACAGGUCGUAGAUGAAUGUCAGUCAAUUUUGAGAUUUUUUGUUAGGUAAAUGUUAGGUUUAAUUGUAUUGUUUUUAUAUCUCUAUUUUGAUAAUUCUUUUUGUGUAAUGGUUAAGUUUAAUUGUAUUAUUUUGAUAGCUCUAUUAUCGUAUUAUUUUGUUAUAAUUUACAGGUGGUAUAUGAGUGUCAGACGACUUUGAGAUUUUUUUUUGUGAAGAGGUUAGAUUUAAUUAUAUUAUUUUGAUGUCUCUAUUAUCGUAUUAUUUUAUUGCAGUUACAGGUGGUAGAUGAACAUCGAUCAACUUUGACAAUUUUUUUUUGGUAAAGGUGAGAUUUAAUUAAAUAAAUUCUCCAAAAGAUGUUGAAUUUAAUUAUUGAAUUCAUCUUUAUUAUUUAAACAAAUAUCCUAUUUAGUAUAACGUUUGAACUUAAUAAAGUGAGGUACACGCGCGAGGUGCGUACACCUAAACUAGUAUAUAUAUAUAUAACUUUUUUUUUAAAAAAAAAAAAAAGAAGAAAAGGAUCUUUGGACCCAAUAAUUUAGCUCUGUAAACUGCAGACCCAUUGUCGUGAUUGAACACACACAAUUUUUCAAUAAUUUAGAUUCAAUAUUUAAAUCAAUAAAACAAUAAUUAUAAUUAUAAAUAUUUUUAAAAAGAAUAUCCAACGAAGAAAAGUUGGCAUUUAAUACCUUCUGUCUUUUUUCCCAUUUUGUUAACCAUUAAAUAUCAGUUUCUUUCCCUUCCAUUUCUAAUAAUCCUCCACCCCCCCACCCACCACACCUAAAAAUUUCUUAAUUAAAACAUAUUUAACUAAAUUAAUCUUACUAACAAUAAUAUAAUUCUAAAUCUGAUUAUUACUACUUUACGUAGUGAUUUUAUUUUAAAGUACUUCACUCAUUUCAUUUUACUUAUCAUUGACGUUACAUAUUUCUUACAAGAUUUUAAUUAGAGGAGUUUUUUUUUUAAUAAUCGUGGUAUCUGGGCCAAUUUACGUGCAACUUGAUUAAUUUCAUGGGAUAGCCAUCACGUCCAAUUAACAACAAGUAUCAUAUAACCCUAUUCAUUAAAAUUAGAACGGAUAAAAAAAAUCACCAAUUACUCCCUUCAUUUUUUUUUAUUUGCUGUUUUUGGAGUGUGUUUAUAUUUCUUUUUAAGUACUUCUCUAAUCUUUCAAGAAUAAUUUGAUCAAUGUCUUCUUAUUAUACCUCAUUCAAAUUACCAAAAUCACUAAUUAAAAAUAUCCUUUUUAGUGUAUUUAAUUACUAUUUUGAAAAAACUCACAAAAUUAAUUAAAAAUAUAUUGAUAAAGGUACUUUUAAUUUUCUAGAAUUGAGUAGUUAAGGGAUGUGCCCAUCCAAAAGAAGCAAAUAAAAAUGAAGAAAGGAAAAUUUGUCUGUUGGGAUAUUAUUAAACUAUUAGAUCACACUUUUGAGUGCUAAUUAGAGGAGCAUCUUAUUAAAUUAAUUUUAUUAAUAUUGUUUAAAUUUUUUUAAUUUAGCUACUAUUAUUACUUUAAAUUAAGAAUAGCAAAGAAAGUAUAUACUAUAAUUUUGUUCUUGAUGUAUACAAAUAAAUUGAAAUAUUUAUGGUAUAGAGAUCAAAUAAAAUGAAAAUGGAGGAAGUAUAUAAAGUGGAAAACAGUGAAUUAGUUGUCAAAUUUCAAAAUCCCUAAAAUAAACUUCCAUUGACUCUUUAUAAUUAUCCUCCUUCCUCUUUAAAUUCUCAAUUUAACUUCACUUCAUAAUUUUAUUUAUUCAUAAACUAUAAUAGUUUUUUUUUCUCUAUGAACAAUUUAUACAACAAAUGUUACUUUUUUUUCUUCACUUUGUUAUAAUCGCCAGAUCAUUAGUCAAUUUUUCUCUAUGAGUGAUUCUCAGUUUUCUUCUCUUUCUUCUUCCUCUUAUGACGGCUCCGCUUCCCCCUCCGCCGUUGCUCCGCCGCCGGUAAAUCAGUUUACUAUUUACACUUUUUUGUUAAUUUUUUUAAUUAAUUAUUCAAUUUUUUUUUAUGUUAAUUUGUGUAAUUUGUAUGUUUAUUUAUGUGAAUGUUGUAGUUGUUUUAGUUUAAUUGAUGUUUUUUUACUGGUGUCCAGGUCAGUUUUCAAGUACUUAACUAAUUUCACGAGAUACCUUACACCUUUCCCCUGCAACGUAAAGUAAAUUUUUUUUUGUAAUACUCAUAGUGUCUGUGUCAGUUUUCGAGCACAUGAUUAAUUUCACGAGAUACAUGACACCUUUCACCAAUAAAGUAUAGUGAAGUUUUUCUUUUUAAUAAUCGUAGUGUCUUUUCGAGCACCUGAUUAAUUUCACGAGAUACGGACACCUUUCACCAAAGUACAGUCUUAUUGUUUUAUAUAAUCAUAGUAUCUGGGUCAGUUUUUGAGCAUCUGAUUAAUUUCACUUGAGACCUGUCACCUUUCAUCAACAAUAGAAAGUAAAGUCUUAUUUUCUUAUAUAAUCAUAGUAUCUGGGUCAGUUUUUGAGCAUCUGAUUAAUUUCACGAGACCUGUCACCUUUCAUCAACAAUAGAAAGUAAAGUUUUUUUUUUUAAAUAAUCAUAAUGUUUGGGUCAGUUUUCGAGCAUCUGACUUAUUUUUUGAGAUACCUGACACCUUUCACCAAUAGCGUAAAGUAAAGUUUUUUUUUUCUAAUAAUCGUAGUGUUUGGGUCAGUUUUCGAGCACCUGAUUAAUUUCACGAGACACCUGACACCUUUCACCAAAGUAAAGUCUUAUUUUUUUAUAUAAUCAUAGUGUCGGGGUCAGUUUUUGUGCAUCUGAUUAAUUUCACGAGACCUGUCACCUUUCAUCAACAAUAGAAAGUAAAGUUUUUUUUUUUUUUAAUAAUCAUAGUGUUUGGGUCAACUUUCGAGCAUUUGACUUAUUUUUCGAGAUACCUGACACCUUUCAUCAGCAACAGAAAGUAAAGUUUUUUUUUAAAUAAUCAUAGUGUUUGGGUUAGUUUUCGAGCAUCUGACUUAUUUCACGAGAUAACUGAUACCUUUCACCAACAAUAGAAAGUAAAGUUUUUUUUUUUUUAAUAAUCAUAGUGUCUGGGUCAAUUUUUGACCACGUCGCUGAUUCUGACCACCUGACUGAUUGCACGGGAUUCCUGUCAUCUCCCACUAGCAACAAAAAAAGAAGUCUUUUCUUAUAACUAUAGUGUCCGGGUUAGUUUUCGAGCACCUCACUAAUUUCACGUUUACAUGCCAUCUCACACUGACAAUAGGAAAGGGAAGUUUUUUUAAAAAAUAAUUGUAGUGUCUGGGCUAAUUUUGACCACUUGAUUUAUUCCGCGGGAUGCCCAACAAAACAGGAAGCUUUUUUUUUAAUAACUGUAGUGUUGACUGAUUCCCACGGGAUUACCUGGCACUUCCCACCAUCAACCGAAGAAUGAUUUUUUUUAACAAUUGAUUGUUUAUUAGUAGUGUAAUUUUAUGCUUAUUUGGGUGAAUGUAGUGGUUGUUUUAGUUUAGAGUGAUAUUUUUACUAGUGUGAUUGUGAUGUAAAGUCUGAAUUUUGUGUUGAAUUUACAAAAAAAAAAAAGUUGAAUUUUUCACUCUGGCUGUGGAUUUUGAGUGUUGGGUAUAGUUAAAUUGCUUUGAUUUUGUCAAAUUUACUCUCUCCAUUCACUUUUACUUUCACGUUUCGCUUUUCGAGAGUCAACUGUAUGGAUUUUGUUUUCAUCGUAUUAAUAUGAGGAGGAUUGCAACUUAUAGUUUUUGAACAUCUAAAUUUUAAAUUGAAAAUAUUGAAUUAAUCUAAUUCAAUUCAGCUCUGAAGAUUAUCAAAAUUGACUCUCGUUAAGUAAAAUGUAAUAAGUAAAAGUGAAUGGAGGAAGUAUGAUUUUCACUGUGGCAGUGGAUUCUUAGUGUUGGAUUACUUUAAAAGUUAAAUUGCUUUGAUUUUGUUAAAUUUAUGUUUUUUAGCUGGUAGAUGUUAGAGGUAGUGUGAGAAUUUGUAUGCUGAAUUUGAUACUCGGAGCCUGUUUGAAUUGACUUAUUUUAAGUGCUUUUAAGUAAAAAUACUAGCUUUAAGUACUUUUGUAGCGUUUGGAUAAGAUUAUAAAAAAAUAUUUUAAGCACUUGUUGUUAAGCCAAAAUAACAAAAAUAAGCCUAUUAAAACUUGAAAGUCAUAAAUUAUAAGCUCAUCCACACAUGCUCUCGUUUAUUGUAUUCUCAUGGAUAUGAUGGUGUUGACCGGAUAAGAUGUUAAUUUGACUUAUUACUCUGUUACUGGUAGUAGAAGGAAAUGGUGUUUGUAGAAUUAGUUUAGUAGAGAAACCAUCACAUCAAAAGUUUAAAUUCUGAUUAGUUGAAAAAUGAAUUUAAGUUCACCAAAGUUACAACAACAACAACAUACCCAGUGUAUUCCCACAAGAGUGGGGUCUGGGGAGGGCAAGAUGUACGUAGUCCAUACCGCUACCUCCGAGGAAGUAGAGAGGCUGUGAAUACACUGGGGAGGGUAAGUUCACCAAAGUUGUGAAAGUUAUAUUAAAAAUUGGAAUGUUUCAAACAUUUUGUACAUCUCGAAGGAAGCCUUGGAGCAAUUAGUAAGGUUGUUGUCAUGUGACCAGGAGGUCACGAGUUCAACCCGUGGAAAGAGUCUCUUGCAGAAAUGCAAGGUAAGACUACGUACAAUACAAUAGAAUCUUGUGGUCUGGCCCUUCCAUGGACCCUACGCAUAGCCGGGGCUCUAGUGGUAUUCUCAUUGAUAUAUAUGAUGGUGUUGACUGGAACUGAGUUUAAGAUGUUAAUUUGAUUAACUACUAUAUUACUGGCAGUGGAAUGAAAUGUUUAAAUGGUGCUUUGGAAAAUUAUUUUAAUGGAGAAAUCAUCACAUCAAAAGUUUGAAUUUUGAUUGGUUAAAAGUGAAUUUAAGUUCAUGAAAGUUGUGAAAAUUAUGUAAAAAAUUUGAAUGGUUCAAACAUUUUGGACAUUUCGGAAAGGAAGAAUCAGACUAGUAUGUGUAUCAUUACUCAAACUUUCACUACUGAUUCUUCAUUGCUUACUAUGUAUGUCAAGUUGUUUGACAAUCAAAAUUCAUUAUUGUGCUUGUGAUGUCUGGUGUAAAUUUUGUGAAUUAUGUGAUGAAUUUGCAACUUUAUUUGUAGUGCGGUACAUAGUUGGCUGUGUAUUUAGAGUGUUGGAUUAUUUGGAUUUUAGUUUCUUUAGUUUGUGUGUCAAUUCAGAGUGUGAGUUGCUUUAAGUGUCUCAAAUUCUAAAGAAAAUAGACAGUGGAUGCAAGUUCUUGAAGUAGAAAUUCAACAUUGCUUUAGUUCUCUUCUUGUGUGGUAUGAUUUUCUUUUAAGAUUUUGUUGCUGAAGUUGAGUUAGAUUUAUACGUUAGGAUACAGUACUCCCCCUCUGUUACCAUUUACAUUUUGGGACGUUUCAAAAGGUUUGAUACCAUCCCACUCUGUACAAUUUCCAAGAUUUUUAAUUUUUUUAACUAUUCAUGUAUUAAACUUUUAUGUAAUAUGUUAUGUUUUUGUGAUAAAUCAAAAGCAAUUAAUUGUCAUACCAGGCUGAUGUUAUCCUUAAAAAAUUCUGUGCCAUUUUACAUUAAACCUUCCAAAAAAUCCUACCAAUUAUCGAUCGAUACAAGUAGAUAUGUUCACUAUGCACCAAGCGAACAAAAGAAAAGAAAGAGAACUUCUGGCUCUUGACUAGCAGACUCUCCAGUUUGACGUGAUGUUUCUCUAUCUAACUCAUGGUUCAAUCAUACUUUAAUAUAUUCUUCUCCGAGCACUAAUAAAUUACUAAAAUGAAUUUAGCAUCUUAAACCGCAUAAGAAACCACCAUAUAAACUGGAAUCGGGCUGGGAGUACUGAGUACUAACCGAGUUCUGCUUGUGUUAUGCAGACAUUGAGAAAUUUCAGAUUUUAAUUAUUAUCUAUUUUUCUAUUUGACCGCAGAAUAUGGCGGGGAAUGGUGCGAGUGGAGAUGAUAUUAGAUCCCGACCACUUAUUUCACAAGUUUCACGGCAUUGGCGAGAUGUGUUUUGGAUGGGGGUAUUCAUGCUGCAUCUACUAUUGGUAGGCGUGGCACUUGCAAUAAUGGGGUUUAACAGGUUUAGGGAAAAGGAUAGGCUCAAAAUUGAUAGAUUCACGCAAAUGAUCCUUGAGAAUCAGCCUGGUUUGACUGAGGACUUUUGGCCUUUGUAUGCCGUGGCUGGUGCAGUGGGAACAGCUCUGGCAUGGGCUUGGUUGGUUUUGCUUGGUUCAAGUGCUAAUAAUAUGAUGAAGUUCUCGGUUCACAUCUUGACAACAUAUCUUGCUGUGAUCAGUGUGCUGUGUUUCUGGCAGAAGCAAUUUUUCUGGGGUGUUGCAUUUGCUGUUGGUGCAGCAUUGCAGUUUUUGUACGUAAUAUCAGUCAUAGACAGGUAUAGCUUGAAACAAUCAUGAUUUUUUAAAAAUAAGCAAACAGAAAAGAAUCUAGCUUUUAUGUUUUUAUUGGCUUCUAUCCGAGUUUAAUUCUCUUUGACAAAAUAUCUAAUCUUUAUCCAUCUUGGCCUAGUCUUUCUUUUUUUAAACGAAGUGAAUAUGCAACUCGUUACCCAAACUUACUUUCUAAAACGCCAGCUUGGAGAAAGUUGUGUUAUUGUGGGAUUGUAUAAAGUGAGAACUUUACAAAGUUUUUCCUUACAUAUAAAGGGAAAACAGCGGUUUCUUUAUAUGCAUAUUUUGAAGGCCAUCUACCGUUUGUAAUGUACAUGUCUGUCUUCUGCUGGAGCAUCUGCAGAUUAGUUUUAUUGAAAGAAAUCGUAUCUGGAGUCAGUUCCGUUAUCCUGAUUUUAAAUGAAAUCAGGUUCAAAGUCUAUAGUAAUACAACAAUCAUGAAGUUUUUAGGAUAGAAAGUUAUCCUGCCAUUUGAAAGGAGGUUGCUUUCCCUGAAGAUAAGAUUGGGGUAGUUUUACAGAUGGGUACUCAAACUUUUACUUUAGUGCCAAAGUUACUAAAUUUUUCUUAUAAAGAAAAAGUCACUCAACUUUACUUAAGUAUCACGAAAGUCACUAAACUAUUUUUUGUAACACUUAAGUCACUUGACUUUGCCCAAGUAUAAUAGGACAUGUCUCGUUUACUUCCUCCUAGUGACAUUUAGUGUUAUGAAACAUUGGAUGGCUUUAUUGUUACAAAAAAUAGUUUAGUGAUUUUUGUGAUAUUUUGGUAACAGUUGAGUAACUUAACUUACUGAAAAAUAGUUUAGUAAUUUUUGUGCUAUAAACUUUAAACUAAAAGUUGAUUGACCAUCUAUAAAAUUAACCCUUAAAAAUUUCUAGUUCAUGCAAAGUUACAUUUGACAGGUCUGUACUUUCAUUCUCCGAAAUAAAAUGCCACAUCAUGAUAAGCACCUUUUUAGUUUGCCACAUCCAUGAUGUUCUUUUAUAUUUUUAAAUUGUAGUGACCUCCCUUGAGGUAAUAUGCAUUAAAUGGUACAAAAAAUGGAUGUAUUUCAUGAAAUUACUUGUCAGUGAAGAAAUUAAAAAGUCUGAAGGAGACCUUGAAGAAAAGAACCAUACGAUUUGAUUCCUUUAUAUUUGACCAUAUUCCCUUUUAGUAACUUCUAGGAUAGUUUAGGUUGGCAAUUAAAAAAAUUAUAGGUUUGAAUCGUGAGGCAAAUAAAAGCCUGUCAUUAAGUGGAAAAGUCCUCCAAGUUUCGAACCAUGCACCACUGACCCUUGAAGGUUUCUCGGUUAUCAAAAAAAUUUGAUGGCCUCAUAAGCUUUAAAGCUAUGGAGAGGUUUGUGUAAAUUCUCCUAAACUCAGGAAGCGUAGUGUAUAAGGAGGAGGCUAAGGCUCAGAAAGCUUAUCAAUUCAGUGGUCGAGACAAUUUUUACCAGGUAAGGAACUGUUGAAUAAGUUUUUUCAGAAAAGGGCAGCCCUGUGCACUAAAGCUCCUGCUAUGCGCGGUGUCCAGGGCCGAGCCGGGCCAGAAGGGUCUAUUGUACGUAGCCUUACCUUGUAUUCUGCAAGAGGCUGUUUUCACGGCUUGAAUGUGUGAGCUCCUAGUCACAUAGCAGCAGCUUUACUAGUUACUCCAAGGCUCCUAUUCUGUUACAUAAGUUUCAGUUUUGUGAAAAUAUUUCUUUCCCCCAAUUUUGCAGACUUCCAUUUACCAUGUUGGUUUUACAAAGAGGUGUGAAGAUGGUGUGUAGCCUUCCUGAAGUUAUGGGAGUCUCAUGUGCAUUCAUGCUGGUCAUGCUUUCAUGGCUAGUACUUUGGUCUUUUGGAGUAGCUGGUGUUGUAGCACUUAGUAUUGGUGAUGGUGGUCGCUGGUGGCUUCUUGUGGUGAGCUGGCAAGUUUUUGCUCUUCAUUUGAUCUGGUUUUAGGGUUUAGUCACUAUCAAAUUUAUAUUGAUCAUGUUGCCAAGCGCAUGAGCUGUUGAUUGCUUGUGUUUUGUACAGGUAUUCUGUGUGAGUCUGUUUUGGACUGGUGCGGUUCUGUGUAACAUUGUUCAUGUAAUAGUGUCGGGCAUGGUGUUUCUCGUUCUCAUUCAUGGUGGUCGACAAGCAACCUCAAUGCCUCCCAAACCAUUGAAGAAAUCCUUACGCUAUGCUGUUACAACCUCAUUUGGCAGCAUCUGCUACGGAUCACUUUUUACAGCUGCCAUCCGGACAUUACGGUGGAAGGUUGGUCAAUCUGUUCUUGUCCAAUCGUCCAUUAUAUUAACUUCUCACAUGAAAAGUAAAAUUUUUUCUUAGUCUCUUACAUAUUGCUUAACUGCACGUAUGACAGUUAGGAUUGACAAGCGGUUUUGUGUUAUGCAGAUUAGAGGAGUCAGAUCAAAGAUUGGCAAGAAUGAGUGUUUGCUUUGCUGCGUCGAUUUCCUAUUUCAUUUGGUUGAGACCUUAGUCCGUUUCUUCAAUAAAUAUGCUUAUGUCCAGGUAGUUUGUUAAUAAUUUUAGUGUCAUAUCUUUUGUCCACUGAUGUCGUGGUUGAUUCUUCAACAUAUUUGAAAAAUAUGCCCCUACAAAUGGGACACUUUCAUGAAGGUGUUAAAAAGAAGAUAAUGACAAUCUAGUUAACAUACGUUAACAGACUUAGAUUCACUUAUUUUCAGCCAGGACUUUCAAAAGGAUUUAAAAUAUAAAGAAGUAAACAUGUGAAGAAGCCAAGGAAUUCAAUAUCUACUAAUAUACUUUGAAAAUAAUUUUGACAACUUAACAUUCCAGCGAAGGGGAUUCAAUAUCUACGAAUAUACUGUGCCCCUGCCUACUUCUCCUUUGCAUCUUAUGUAGUGGUACUUCCCUUUUACUCAUAUUGAAAGAGACUGAGUGGAAAUCCUCUCUUAAUACAGAGAUCAAUAGUCUCCGAUUGGGUUGAGAGUAGCUGCUGCUUUGAUAUUGCUGUCUCCAGUGAGCUUGUUUUUGUUUUUUCCUGUAGUAUUCGUUGUAACAUCAUUUGUUUGAUUUAUGUCCAAAGGGAUGACUGGGUGGUUUAGGCAUAGGAGUAAUGAAUGCAGAUCCAACAUUCACAUUCCAGCCACAAUAUACAUCAUGAGCUUUCUCUAUAUUUGAGGACCAGGACCAACAACUGUACCUGUGGAUUGUAGCAGGACGUAUGAGUUGAGAUUUGUGCAAAUUGGCUUUGAUAUUGCUUUAAUAAAGGAAUCUUUCAAUUGAGUUAUAGUAUUUGGUUGUAGUCUAGGAUUUGUUAAAUAGAAGAUGUGUUUGCCAAGUGUGUGCUAACUCUUUGUUAAAUCUUCUUUUUCUUCUCCUCUUCCCUAUCUCUGUGUUUAGUGUGAUCCACUUACAUUUAUUCAAUUUAACACAUGACAAGCUAGUGAUGAAGUCUCGAGUAUGUUUUAUAUUCUGGCAAUUAGACGUGUAAGUAUUGCAUUCAUGGAUGAUAAUAAAUCUUUGGAGUAGCUAGAGAGCGACACAGGUUAGAAGUUACAUCUGAAGUAUUUAUCCCACUUAGGGGUGAUACAGGGAUUUUAAUGAAACAUGUGAUGUAAAGUGGCACAUGCACUAAUCAGUUAUUUCUUUGGGUAACUAAUUUGUUGGUUUUGGUCCAUUGCUGCGCAUAAAAAUAUAAGAAAUUUUGAAUUGUAGUGAAUAUUUGAAAAUUUCGCCGGAAGCAGAUGUCAAUUAGUUACUGAAUUUGAUGCUAUAUUUCAAACAUACUCCUUGCAGAUUGCAGUUUAUGGUAAAAACUUUAAUCGCUCUGCAAGAGAUGCCUGGGAGUUGUUCCAAUCAACUGGGGUUGAAGCACUUAUUGCCUAUGACUGCUCAGGUGCUGUUAUAUUGAUGGGAACUCUUGUGGGUGGGCUGGUAGCCGGAACCUGUGCAGGAGUUUGGACAAGGAUCAAGCAUCCUGACAGAGUGAUGAUGGUCGGUUCUACGUCCAUGUUGAUGGGAAUGAUCUUGGUAAGUCAUAGUCAGCAACCGCACCUCCCGUAUUACUUUUAAUGUCUGACAGUGAUUGCCUCUUUUUUCUCUUCAAAUUGUCUGAAAUAACUCCCUGUGCACAUAUCAAUCAAUGCUUUUGUAUUUGUGGAGAAAGCAGUUCAAUUAAUCUUAAAAUAGCUGUAUAAAUUGACAAGUGACCCUAGAUCAAUGCAGAGAGCCGUGUGUAUGACCUAACGAUUGAUAAAGUGGUUGAAAGUCAUGAGACACCGAAGUUCAAAUUCCAAUAGUGACAAAAACUAGGUGAUUUCUUUCCAUCGGUCCGAGCCUUGAUAGGAGACUUAUCGGUACCUGUGUUGGUGGGAUGUAGUACUCAACGAGAUAGUCGAGAUGCGAGAGACACCACAGGUCAAACCAAUUAUUAUAAAAUACAACAACAUUACCCAGCGUAGUCCCACAAAGUGGGGUAUGGGGAGGGUAGAUCACACACAGACCUUGCCCCUACCUCAAGAGGUAGAUAGGUUAUUCCAAUAGAACCCUCAGCUCCAGAAAAAAAAAGCCCAAAACCAAUGAUAAAAAGCAAUGAUUAUUAGUUGCCAAGUUAGUUGCCUAGAUCACCAAUACACACUAUUUGAAACUUAAGCUUGUUUCCGAUAAGAUGGUCGACGCGAAAAAUGUUGGAGAUCCUUGUGGCUCACACCUCUCACGCCAGGACUCAGAGUCUUCCCUAUUAUUUAUGACAUACGAUAUUGGUUUUCAGGUCGGACUGGCUACAGUUGUGGUGGAAAGCGCGGUGACAUCCAUAUAUAUCUGUUUCGCGGAAGAUCCUGUGUUAAUACAAAGAUGGGAUGCGGAGUUUUUCAACAAGAUGUCGGAGAUGCUGCAUCAACGAUUACAACACAGAAGUUCACGGGCAACACAAGUAUUGACCAGCAGAUUCGACAGCCAAACGCAAGAAACUGCCGUCUGAAUUCCUCACUUUUAGAACAUUCAUGUCUUAUCUCUUUGUCUUCAUGUAUUAGUUUUUUGAUUUUGUCAAUAGGUAUGUAAUGUAGAUUAGAUACAAUCCAUUCUGGUCUAUUUCCCUUCUCAAAGGGGAAGGGAAAAGCCUCAGUUUAAUUAUAUCCCCAAUAGUUUUGUCUUUUUUUACUUCUAAAAUUUGAAUUUAUUAGGUUUUUAGAGUGGUUGGAGAACUUUUGAAGUUUGUCCUUCACAAUUGUAUUUGUAUUUGUAUUUGUAACUUAAGGUAUUAUUUGUUUCUUUUUAAGGUUAAAGAUGUUUGAAUGUGAAUAUAUAAGACUCUUUUCUUUGUGGAUUGUUCAUCAGUUUGUCUUAUUUAAAAGUUUAGUAAAUGUAAAAUUUAGAUACAUAAAUAAGUAAACUUUAUGUAUGUGUGUGUCGGCGGGGGUGUGGUGGGGUGGGGGGGCAUGGACAAUUUAUUUGGAGGAACAUUUUUUUUAGUUUGUUAAAGAUGGAGCAUUCCACCCCUCGUAUCUUUAUAAUAUUUUAUUAGAUUUGGAUAUAUGCUCGUAAGAUAUCAUUUUCUUUUCGUACUUAUCGAACAUUAGAAAUUAGUAAGAAUACUUUCCUCCCCGCCAAACACAUCCAUACAAGCUUCUAAAAUCACAAUUAAUAUAGUGUAGCAAAAUUUAUUUGUUUUGUGAGGCACAAUCUUAUAUCUAGUUAGAGGUAAUUAAUGAUCCUCAUCCUGAGAUGAGAGGGAAGGUCAAUUUCACGCGAAUUAGGUGGAUCUUGAACCUGUGCUUACACUCCACAACAAAACGGAGUUGUGGAGAGAAAGCACGGAUAUAUAUUAGAGCUAGCCAGAGCAAUCAGAUUUUAAGGUUCAAUACCCCUUAAGUUCUGGGGACAUUGUAUAUUGGGAGUUGUAUACAUAAUGAAUAGAUUACCUUUUUCUGCUUUACAGGGAAAGACUCCUUUCGAAGUUUUCCAUGGUCAUCUCCCUACUUUCACUCAUUUAAGAACACUAGGUUGCUUGUGCUUUGCCAAGAAGCUUCUUCCAGGGGAUAAGUUAGAUGCGAGAGCAAUCCCCGCAGUUUAUAUGGGGUAUUCUGCAGUAACUAAAGGUUAUGUUUUGUAUAGCUUAGUUACUCACACCUUUCUCAUGUCAAGAGAUGUGUUGUUUAAGGAAAAUGUUUUUCUUUUCCAAACUAAGACUCUUUCUACUCCUAUAUUUUUGGACUUUUCUACUGAUCCUUUUAUUCCAUCCUCUCAAAACUCAGUACAGGUUGAUGAACUGUUGCCUCAUUCUCCUAUUGAGGCUGAUCAUGAUGCUACUGUUGACCACUUGCCUGCAGCACCUGUGCCUGUUGAUGCUUAUGACACAACUCAUGUGGCUAUUGAUAUGCCUAUUGAGGUUGUUCCUAGACGGCCCACAAGGACCAAGAAGCAACCUACUUGGAUGACUGAUUAUGUCUCCAAUAGUGCUUCUGCAAGCACUCCAUAUUCACUCUCUCAGGUGUUAAGUCAUGCUCAUCUUUCACUUGCUUAUCAACACUAUUUGACUGUCUUUUCUUGUGUUACUGAGCCCAAGACAUAUAAGGAAGCUUGUUCUGAUCCUAAGUGGAUUAAGGCAAUGCAAGAAGAAAUUCUUGCACUUGAAGACAAUCAUACUUGGAAGUUAGUUCCUCUGCCUCCAGGGAGGCAUCCUAUUGGAUGUAAAAGGGUUUACAAGGUGAAAUUUAAAGCUAAUGGUGAAGUAGAAAGAUACACAACUAGAUUGGUUGCUAAGGACUAUAACUAAAGAGAGGGUCUUGAUUAUCAAGAUACUUUUUCACCUGUGGAGAAAAUUGUUACUGUCAGAAGUGUAUUAUCGAUUGCCGCAGCUUCGGAAUGGCAUAUCCAUCAAAUAGAUGUAUAUAAUGCCUUCCUGUAAGUCGAUCUCUUUGAUGAGGUUUACAUGACUUUGCUUGAAGGAUUUUCUAGCCAGGGGAAGUCUUAAGGACUGGUUUGCAGGCUAGGUAAAUCCCUGUAUGGUCUUAAACAGGCAAGCAGACAAUGGAAUGUGAAACUUACAGAUGCACUGGUUGCUUCAGGAUUCAUACAAAGUAAACUAGACCACUCAUUGUUUAUAAGAAGACAUAAUGAGAAAAUUGUAGUCAUUUUGAUUUAUGUUGAUGAUAUGAUAAUAGCAGGGAAUGACUUAAAGUUAAUUGAGCAAACCAAGAAGGAGCUACAUGCCAAAUUCAAGAUUAAAGACCUAGAAACUCUAAAGUACUUUCUUGGAAUAGAAUUCAGCAGGUCUAAUAGAGGAAUAUUGAUGAAUCAACGAAAAUAUACUUUAGAAAUGAUAGAGGAAACCGGUCUUACUAGAGCAAAGCCCUUAUGGACACCAUUGGAGAACAACAUGAGACUAAUUACUAGAGAAAUGGAUGAAAUAGCAGGGGUAGAAGAUGAUCCAGCAUUGGAAGAUAUGGGAUCAUAUCAGAGAUUGAUUGGUAGAUUGUUUUACCUGACUUUAACAAGACCAAACAUAUGUUUUGCCAUGCAUACACUAAGUCAGUUUUUACAAGAACCAAAGAGAUAUCACAUGGAAAAAGCACUAAGGGUGGUAAGAUACAUAAGAAGACAAGCUGCAAUGGGAAUAUUGAUGAGUAACAAAAAACAAAACAGGCUGAUAGCAUAUUGUGAUGCUGAAUGGGCAACAUGCCCAAACACUAGGAAAUCUGUGACAAGUUUCCUAGUUAAACAUGGUGAUUCUCUGAUAUCUUGGAAGUCCAAGAAACAAACAACCAUUUUAAGAAGCUCAGCGGAGUCAGAAUACAAGAAUAUGGCUUCUGCAGUCCCAGAGAUAGUGUAGAUCACAGGAGUGUACAAAGAACUAGGAGAAGACCUGGAGUUGCCAGUAGAACUCUAUUGCGACAGUAAGGCCGUCUUAUAAAUAACAGCAAACCCAGUAUAUUAUGAGAGGACAAAGCACAUCGAAAUAGAUUGUCACUUCAUUAGGGAGAAGAUUAGAUUAAUUAAACCAUUAUUCUUAAGAACACAUGAGCAACAAGCAGAUAUUUUAACAAAACGGUUGAUUAGAUCACAACAUGAAUAUUUGGAUUCCAAGCUGGGUAUUUUGGAUGUGUUCAUACCUUCCAGCUUGAGGGGUAGUAAUGGAACAGGAGCUGUAACUUGAUUGUAUUGUACAGCUGGCACAAGAGUUAGUUAAUAUAGAUUUGACUAAUUGGUGAUUAGUUAGUAAUCUAGUUGAUUAGUUAGUGAUGUACAACUGUCAAUAGUGUGAGAAUGUGGCAUGUAUAUAAGGGAGAAGAAUGUAUUCAUUCUAGAUAGUUCAAUACAGAGACGGUUAUUAUUUUGUUCAGCAUGAGUUAGGGAAUUAAUUUCCUCUCUUUUUCUCUCUUACUCUCUAUCUUCUCUCUUAGCUGAUAGAACACAAAUUCUGUUUAGCUUCAAAAAUGCAAUAUACUUUGAUAUGCUCCUCUCUGGUGAUCAAAAAGUUUGCUUGUUGAUUGGCAAUUCAGUUCAUAUAAGUUAGGAAUAUAACUCACUUUCAAGUUAUCCCAAACUAUUGAUGACUCGGGUUCUAAAUCGACAUGUCAAUCAAAGGCAUUGGUCGUAAUAUAUGUGUGGUGGUCACAUAGUGAUAGCUAAUGAUUGUGGCUUGUGUUUGUUGUGCGGCAAUAAUAAUAAAUAGAGUGAUGGUGAUAAAUGAACAAUACCUUAAUAAUUUCGAAAUUUGUUUAAGAUCUUAAUGAAUUACACGUUAUAAAAGAAAGAAAAAUAUUAUAAUACUGUAUAUCAAUCAACAACACAAGACCAAUCCAUAGUCACAACUCACAAACAUCAACAAUUUUUGUCCAAUCUAUAUAUGACCAUGUAGUUAGUUCCCUUUGUUAAAUAAAUCCUCAAAAUGCGUUCUAUCUUAAUUAAGCCUUUAUAUAACUGUCAGAACUUUACCAAUAAGGACAAGAAAAAAAGGAAAAAGUCAUUAAAACCACCUUAAACUAUAUCCGAAAAGUCGAAGACACACUUAAACUAUUGAAGUGACCUAAUACACACCUAUACUACCGAAAAGUGAAUUUAAUUCCACCCCGACGCACAUUCAACCAGUCACAUAGUAGGAGGUGCUUUACACUCGCCCGCCACUUCAGCAUCAUGUCAGAAAUUUUAUAUUUUUUUUUCAUUCUUUUCUUUUAUUAAUUAUAUUUUACACUAAUUAAUUCCUAAUUAAUCAUUAAAAUCCUCCAAUAAUUAUAUCUUCUUCAUCAAUAAACCACCCCACCCUCUAAGAACAACUUUUUUUCUCUCUAUAUUUCAUCUCUCGGUUACAACUAGGUUGAAUAAGCUCUUUAAGGUCUAAAAUGAUUGUUUUGUUCAAUCUUCCCAUAGUUAAUAAAUAUUGUUUAUGUGCCCAAUGACAUAAAUGACCAAAAGUAAGCAAGUGGUCGGAAAACGACCAACUAAUCCAUGGCCAUCACUGUUCAGCUCUCAAAGUUUCAACACCUAGAGGGGUUGUUCCCAAGCGUAAUUGAGCAGCAGCUUCUAGGACAGGAUCACCGAUAGCAAAUAAGCAGACUCGUUCUUAUCAUAAGUACGGAAGAACGGGAAUCAUAAAAAUCCAACCAAAAGAAAAAAGGAAAGAAGUGCCGAACAACCAUUCCAUACAAUUAUUCAAGUAAAAAGUAAACUUAUAAGGAGACAAGCAGGAUUAUCUAUUUAAAAUUUUCAUCUCCAUCUCCAUCAAUAAACCACCCCACCUCCCCAUCUCUCAUCUCACCGAAAACACUAUAUACGUUGUCAGUCGUCCACCACCAUCACCACUUAUUCUUUUCUUUUCACCACCAAUAGCAAAUCCAACAUCACACACACUUCAAUUUCUUCUUCUUCUUCUUCUUUGCAAUCCACCACCAUUAUCAUUAUCGAGUUUUUCAUCUUCAUCACCUUCAAUUUUUUUUGGUUCAUCACCCACCACUAACAAACCCGAUGAGAUUUCCUCAUCAAAAAAAAAAAUUUCCCUUGUAAUUGAUUAUAUUUAACUUGUAAUGAUUUCUUUUAAUAAAGUGGAUAUAUUUUUUUUUUUUUGUGAAAAGAAAAAAUAAAAAUAAAAUCUGAAGGUUUAUAAAGAUAUAUAUGAAGGCUUGUAAUGAUAUUGAGAGAAAAGGGGUGAGAGAUAAGUUAAAUUUUCUCUAAAGAUAUAUUAGUUUGUAGUUUAUGGUGAAAAUGGUGUUGUUGGGUACUAUUAAGAAAAAAGAAAGGGAAGUAAUGAAGAUAGAGCAAAGAAGAAUUUAAAAACGUAAAAAAGGUGUCAAAAUAAUAAAAUAAAUGGAACAAAUUACAAUAAACGCGCUAGCUUCAAAUUUAAGUGUGUAUGUCACUUCAGCUUGUAGGGUGUAAUUAUGUUCACUUUUUGGUAGUAUAAUUGUGUAUUAGGUCACUUCAAAAGUUUAAGUGUGUCUUCAACUUUUCAGAUAUAGUUUAAGAUGAUUUUGAUGACUUUUCUCCAAUAAAAAAUAUUGUGUUCAUCCCAUUACAUUAUUUUUUAUAAAAAAGUAAUAUAUAUAUAUAUAUAUAUAUAUUCUUGUGGGAACUAAAUUAGUGAACAAGGAAGCAAAUGGGCUUCUAAUGGGAAAAGAUGGAUCCCUUUAAUUUUCUAGUCCAAAACAAACUUGCUUGAAUUUUCCCAAUCAAAUAUGGACCACAGUUGAACAAUUGCUGACCAAACAGAUAAAACUUGUCAUAAAAAUCACCUUAAACUAUACUUGAAAAAUCGAAGAUACAUUUAAACUAUUGAAGUGAUCCAAUACACUUCUAUACUAUCGAAAAAUGAAUUUAAUUUCACCCCGACGCACAUUCAACCAGUCACAUAAUGGGAGGUGCUUUACACUCGCCCGCCACAUCAGCGCCACGUCAACGCCAUGUCAGAAAUCUUAUAAAUUUUAUUUUUUUAAUUCUUUUUUUUCUUUUAUUAGUUAUAUUUUUCACUAAUUAAUUCCUAAUUAACCAUUAAAAUCUUCCAAUAAUUAUAUCUUCUUCAUCAAUAAACCACCCCACCCUCUCCAUCUCUCAUCUCAUCGGAAACACCAUAUACGUGGUCAACUGGCUACCACAAUCACCGCUUAUUCUUUUCUCUUCACUACCAAUAGUAAAUCCACCAUCACACCACUGUAAUUUCUUCUUCUUUGCAAUUCACCACCGUUAUCAUUAUCGAGUUUUUCUUCUUUGUCACCUUCAAUUUCUUUUUGUUCAUCACCCACCACUAACAAAACCGUCAUCAAUAUCUACACAAUUACUUUUCUUUAAAACCUCAUUCUCUUUUAUUUUAAUUUUAUUGGUGAUUUUUUUUUUCUCAGAGUUUUAUAGAGUUGGAGAAAUUAGAUUAAUAAAUCGAUCAGUAAGUUGGUGAAAAUUUUAAAUUUAUCGUUAAUAUAAUAGUUAUCUUUAAUUUUAACGUUAAUUUAUGAGAUUUUAGCAGAAAUAAAAAGAAGAAGAAAAAGAUUGAACAAGUAGGAUAAAUGAAUACCACAUUGAGUUUGCCAAAAAAAAAUUCUUGAUAAAGAAUAAUGAAAAAUUUAUAUUUCCCUGAUGAGAUAUCGAUUCCUCAUCAAAAGGUAUUUUUUUUCCUUGUAAUUGAUUAUAUUUAACUUGUAAUAAUUUCUUUUAAUAAAGUGGGUAUAAAUUUUUUUUUUUUGUGAAAAGAAAGUAAAAAUAAAAUUUGAAGGUUUGUAAGAUAUAUAUGAAGGUCUGUUAUGAUAUUGAGAGAAAGGGAGUGAGAGAUAAGUUAAAUUCUCUCUAAGGAUAUGUUGAGUUUGUAGUUUAUGGUGAAAAUGGUGUUGUUGGGUAUACUAUUAGAAAAAAAAAGAAAGGGAAGUGAUGAAGACAGGGUAAAGAAAGAAUUUAAAAGGGUAAAAAAGGUGUGAAGUAAUAAAAUAAAAGGAACAAAUUGUAAUAAACGAGCCUAUUUCGCUUUAUCUUUAUUUUUUAUGCCACAUUAGCUUGUAGGGCGAAACUAAGUUCAUUUUUCAAUAGUAUAGGUGUGUAUUAGGUCACUUCAGUAAUUUAAGUGUGUUUUCGAUUUUUCGAAUAUAAUUUAAGGUGAUUUUAAUAACUUUUCCCGACUUAUAAAUGACAAAAUUGCUAAUGAAAAGACAGCUUAAAAAGUGACAAUUGACCAAUAUAAUAAUGGGCAAAUAACAUAAAUCUCAAUAAUUUAGAGUUUAAUUACAAAAAAAAAUCAACAUUUACAUAGUUAUUGAAAAUCUCAAUUUUUGGGUCUGUCGAGAUACAUAUUAGCUCUUGAUAUAUAUAUUUUUUUAUUUUGAGCCUAUUGAAAUACAUAAUACAUCCAACAAAAAUACAGAUUUUCCUCGUAAAAAUACGUAAUUAGCUCCCAAUAUAUAUUUUUUAAAAUUUUGAAUCUAUCAAGAUACAUAAUUAGCUCCAUGAUUCAUCCAAGGAAGACAUAUAAUUAGUUAGGAUUUCUGUAAUUAUUUUAUAAGAAUAAAAUUUGUAUAAAUAUAAUAAGUUAAAGGUAUAUAUUCCUAUAAUAUAACACAAGAAGUUGGUAAAUAUAUAUAUAAAAAAAGUGUAACUAAUGAAGCUCUUCCAACUUGCUGAAAAUUAUUGUGAGCAAGUCAUUAACAAAAUGAGAAUUGAAAAUGGUAUAGUAACAUCAUUGUAUAUAAAUUCAUAAGUGGGCAAAAACAAAAGUAUUUUAUUACUCUCUUUAGUUCAAUUUAUAAUUUGAUUUUGACUUGACAUGAAACUAAAGAAAGUAAAAAAAUAAAUUAAAUUUUAUGAUGUAAAAUUAAAAAAAAUAUAAAAUAUAUCAAAUAUUCUUUAAUUUAUGAUUAUAAAAUAUCAUGUGAAAUAUUAGAAUUAAAAAAUUUGCUAAAAAUGAAAAAGACAGAUUAAAAAUGAAAUAAGGCAAAUAAAAAAACCGAAGGGAGUAACAUUUUUUCUCAUCAACAAAAAAGUAUAAUUCCAAAACAACCUCUCUACCUCUUGAUAUGAUCUUCGUACGCUAUAUCAUUUCUAUAACUUAUUUUUUGUUGAAUAUGUUGUUAUUGCAAUAAAAGAAGUAUAGUAGGAUGAAAAUGACAUAAUAUAAAAAUGUGUCAUUUAAUUUCACCUCAACCGAUACCUACAUCCUCCAACUUCGGACAUCACAAGUAGGCAUUUAAACUUAUAAAGUUGAACAAAUAGACUCAUGCUCCUUAUAUGACAUAUACCCGUAGGACACAUCUAGGACAUCGAAGAUACACGUAUCUAUUCGUUUUAAUUUUAUACAAGUUUAAGUAUUUACUUGUAUGAAUUCAAAAUUGAAGUAUAUGAAUAUCAGUUGAUGUUAAGUUAAAUGAUACGUUUAUGUAUUAUGUUAAUUUUGGACAUUACAGAUGAACGCUUAAACAUGUAUAAAAUUAAAUAAGUAAACUCAUGCAUUCUAUAUGAGAUGCAUAUACCUAUAGGACACCUUGUAGGGCGUCAAAAGUACAUGUAUCUAUUUAUUCACCUUUAUAUAAAAUUUAAAUAUCUAUUUAUAUAUAUUUAAAGUUGAAGUAUAUAAAUAUCAGUUGAUAUUAAGUUAAAAAAAAGUACAUUUAUGUAUUAUGUUUAAGAAAAUUGAAGAGGUCAAGUGAUGUAUAGAUAAGGAAAAUAAAGACAAGAUAAAGCCAAAGUAGAGAAAAGAUUCACAAUCCAGAAAAAGGCAUUGUGUCAGUUUUAUUAAUUGCACCAAAAGCAAAAUAAGGGCAACUAUGGGCCAUUUUACUUAUUAGUAUUAUCCAACUUGCUACACAUGCUUGCUAGUUGCUUCCAAGCAAAUUAAACAUAUAUCCCUUCUUUUAUUUAUUACACAUCCUAUCCUUUAUUUAAUUCUCCAACUCCCACAUUUUUAUGAAGUAAUGAAAUGUUUCGUGUUCGAGCUUUGAGUAUGAAAAAAUUUUAAAUAGGGUGUGGGCAGUGACGGAGACAUCUUUGCUUUAGGUGAUUCAUCAGAAUCUCCUUCAACGAAAAAUUAUACCGUUUUUAUACUAUUUUUACAUGUUUAAAAAUAUUUUUUAUGUAUAUAUAGUAGAUGUUGAAUUUCCUUCGACUAAUUUGUAUAUAUACUUGUGAACUCCAUCAGUGAACAUCCUGGCUCCGCCGCCGAGUAUGGGGUAUGUAUUUUAUGUUAUAAGUGAACUAACUUUGAUAUUUAAAUGAUGAAGAAUAGAAAGAAUCGAAGGGUUCGUUUAGAGAUAGAGCUGGGAUUUGAACGCUGAGGGCCUUUAAGUUUUAGGAUAGGAUAGUGAUAUCAGGAAUUAGUAAUUAGAUUUUACACUAAUUUUGGCCAAACACAUAGGUAGGUAUGUUUUUAGCUCCGCCCCUGAGUCUAUCAUUCUCGAGUUUCGAAAGCUAUGACUGAUCUAUAAGAGUUGACUCAAAAUGAAUUUUUCGAUCACCCCCGCACCCCCCAAAAAAAAUAGACCUUAUAAGAAGUAUAUUUUUUUUUAUAUAGAUUCUACACGACCAAAUGAAAUUAUUUUGAUAUGUACAUCUCAAAUACUAAAUAAUUAUACAAGAGAGUUUCUCCUUCUAUCACAUUUACUUAACGUACUCGUUUUUUUAAGUGUUGACACUUUUAUUUUAAAUUAGAAAUAAUUUUAUUUAUUUUUUAAUUUUAAUCUUUGAUGAAAUUAUUCAUAACCAUAAAAGUGCUAUCAUAUUAUCAAAGAUCACAAGUUUAAUUUCUUUUGAUGUAUGUACUGCAUAUUUUGUGGCGAAUUAAAUAUUGUUACAUAAAUGAAGUAAAGGAUUAAAUAAUUACACCAAAGUAAAAUUAAAUGGAAAAUUCUAAAAAGCUUUUCAAUCACAUCACCAUCGCAUCAUCUUUUGUGCCCUAAAUAUUCUGAAUAAUAUUUAAUUACUACUCCCUAUAUAUUUUAAAUUACUAGUAUAAACUUUUCAACACAUUAUUUAAUACUCCAUCAAUACAACUUCCCAAGACCUAGUGCUAUUGUCAUCUAACAAAUUUCAAUUAAAUGAAUGAGCAUUUAAUUAACUUCAUAUAAAAAAAAGUAAUGUAUUAAGAAUGACUUAUAAUUAAGUCAUAUAAACAUAAAUAUUUGAAGGAGGGGGAAUUAAGAAGGAUAGAUCAAGAAGAAUGACUUAUAAUUAAGUCAAUAAAAAAAUAAUGUAUGAGAUACUUUAAGCGAAUUUCACGACUUAAAAAAAUUAUUGAAUCCAACCUCGUUGAGAAAAAUUAUUUUUUAUGAACUCUCAUUUCGAAUAACGCAUUAUAAUCAAUAUAUAAAAAGCAAAUACAGGAUUAUAAUCAAUAUAUAAAAAGCAAAUACAGUAAUAAUUAAUAAAGAAGGCAUGUCGAAAAUAAUACUACCUCCGUUUUAUAUUAGUUGAUCCCUAUUAACUUGGCACACUCAUUGAGAAAAUAAUAAUUAUGGAUUUAUUUUAUCAAAUUAACCUUAUUAAUUAUGCUUUGAAAAUAUAAAUUUGAAUAAAUAUACUUUGUUUAGUCAUUUAAUGUUAAGGAUAAUAUUGAAAUAACAUAAUAAAAUUCUCUUGAUUUCAUCAAAGGAACAACUAAAUUUAAACUAAUAUUUUUUAAAAGAGGAUCAACUAAAAUAAAAUGGAGGAAAUAAUAAAUACUAAUAAUCUAUUUAAAUUAUAAAUUACUAUAUUCACCCAUAUUUUAUUGAAAAAAAAAAGAGGAAAAUAGAAAGGAAGAAUAAGGUGAUACACAUUUGUUUUUUUAACCAGAAAAUGACAAAUCACUUAUUAUUAUUAUUAUUAUUAUUAUUAUUAUUAUUUUUUACCAUAUAGUAAGAAAAGAACCUUACUUUUUGUUUGUUAGUAGAAAGAGAAAGUGAAUUUUCCAGAUUUACUUUCUCAACGUGCAAUUUUGUCAUAAUAUCUAUUAUUGGUAAUUUUACGUACUUACACUUUCAGUUUUACUUACAGUAAAAACCAUUAUAACACGUAACAAACAAUUUUCAAUAAAAGCCUGCAAUAUAUAUCAGAGUUUCUGCAGAAAAAACUGCAAACAUAAGUAACCUUUCUAUACACAAUAAUAAUAAUAAUAAUAAUAAUAAUAAUAAUAAUAAUAAUAAUAAUAAUGAAAUACUCAGACAGAACUAAAGUAUCUGUACUGAACAACAUUGUAUAAUCAACUUUUUUAAUUUUGAUCCGAUAUUCAAUAUUUAUAUUGAAAUUUAGAAUGCAUUUGGAUAUGUGUAGAGAAACUUGUGUUGAGAGUAAAAUGCUAAUAACUUCUCGUGUAUCCAUGAGUCCUAAAUUCUGAAUCUGUCACUGAUCUAAACCUGAUAAAAUGAUUAUCAUUUAAUUAGAAAGUCACAGGUUUAGGUCGUGAAAACGACCUCUAUCAGAAAUGUAAGAUAAAUUUGCGUAUAAUAGAUCCUUUUCCAGACUUCACACGUAAUUAGUCAAUAGUAUUCAUGAAUCUGUAAAAUGAUUUUGAAAUAAGCAGUUAAUAUAGAGGAUAUAAAUUAUAAUAGAGAAUAUAUUUUAUUUUUUUCUUAAUAUGUUCAUGAAAUAAAAAUAAAAAAUUAUUUUUAAUAUCAUAUACAAGUAAAAAUAAACGAAACGAGAUGUAUAACUGAUGAUAUUAAAACAGAGACAAAGUACUUGCAUGUGCUAGCUAUAGCUAGGCCUUGAUGGUAUUCUUUGUCUUGAAAAGUACACCAUUAUAUUAAAUAUAAAUAUUAUUAUUAUUAUUAUUAUUUUUUUUAACUUCAAGAUGAAAUGUAUAACACUGUUUUCAUAUCCAAAUUAAGGUCAGAGAAUCCUAUAAGUAAUAAUUAAUGAAUACUGAAUAUUGGUACAUCAUGAUAUAAUUAGCAAUUUGAAUAAUGAUAUGAAAUCAAAUUCUAUUGGUAUUAAUUAGAAUUAUUAGUAGAACUAUGUCUAAUAACUACUUUCUCCGUCCCAUUUUACUUGUUCCAAAUUGGGAUGGCACAACAAUUAAGAAAAAUAACAAAUAACAUGGCUAGUUUACCAAAGUACCCCUAUUAAAUGACGUUUAUAUUUUAAUUUAAAGAAAAUGUAAUUUAUGCAAAGGGUAAAACAUGGAAAGAAAAGUUUGUCUUAUCUUGAUAAGUAAAAUGAGACAAGUAAAAUGGGACAUCAACUUAGCUGAUUUGGAACGGAUAAAAUGAAAUGGAGGAAGUAUAAUGAAAAGUUAUAACGUUUUUCUUAUUAUAUAUACCUAGAUAAAUUUUUACAAAUUAUUAUCUCUUACUUCUAGUAAUUUUUCACUAGUACCAUUGCAAUUUUAGCAUGUGGGUUCUAUUGAUUAACCCAUUUUAUGAAUAGAAUAUAUUUGUCUAUUUGUUACGUUUAUUAUAUAUACAUAAAAUAAAUUUAUCACGUGAUUAUACUGCGACAAAAAUAUAACUUAAUUACAAUAAAAAACACUCGAAAAAGUUGUGCUACCAGCCACGACACAAUCAAAUGCGUCAUGACUAACUGAUAAUUUUACCAUAGUUCACGAGUUAUUAUUUUUAUUUCUUAGUAGAUUUUUUCACUAAUUACCAUAACGAUUUUAGCAUUUGGGUUUUAUCUCAUAACCCAUUUUAUGGCCGAAAUAUAUUGGUCUAUUUGUUACGUUUAUAAUACACACAUAAAAUAAAUUUGUCACGUGAUUAUGGUGCUGCAAAAAUACAACCUCAUUACAACUCAAAAGACCCGAAAGAGUUAUACCACAACACAACUAAAUGCGUCAUAACUGACUGACAAUUUUAUCAUAGUUCACGAGAUUAUCUCUUAUUUCUUAGAUUUUUUUUCACUAAUAUCAUAUCAAUUUUAACAUGUUUGUUACGUUUAUUAUAUAUACAUAAAAUAAACUUAUUACGUGAUUAUGCUGCUACAAAAAUACAACUUCAUUACAAAUCACAACCACAUACGUCAUGAUUAAGUGACAAUUUUACCAUAAUUCACGAGUUAUUAUCUCUUAAAUUUUUUCACUAAUAUCAUAUCAAUUUGAGCAUGUGGAUUUUAUCCAUAACCUAUUUUUUGACUAAAUUAUAGUUGGCCUAUUUGUUACGUAAUAAAAAUGUUGGAAUCUGUAAAGGUGUUUACUACGUAUAAAAAAGAUUUUAUUGGGAAUCUAAAAUGCUCAAAUGGCAGGAGGGAGGGGUCAAUUUUACAAUAAUGAAAAAAGCUAAGAGUGGCUAUAUCUGAAAUUCAGACUUUAUAUUAAAUUACUAUGUGUGCUAUUUUAAUAAAAAACGUACUGAUACGCAAUCCUUUGUUCAAAAAUAUUGCUUUCAAGAUUUCCUCUUAGGAUCAAUUUGAUCAUAAAAUCAAAAAAAUAUUCAUUUUAUUUAAUAUUUUUAAAAUUAAUAAUAAAGUUGGAGUUAUGUUUGAUCAUAAUAUUUUGAAAGUUAAAAAUUUAUAAAAAAAUGAAUUAUUUUAUGAAAAUUAAAAAUUAGAUCUUUUUAUUAAAAAUAAAUUAAAUAGUCCAUAAAGUGGAUCCAAAAAUAAUGAAAAACCCUCUUAAGAUGUUUUUUGAAAAUUUAAAUAUUAUAAAACAUAUUUUAAAAUAUUUUUGAUCAAAUAAGUAAUUCGAAACAAAGUUCAAACGUAUUCGAAAAUAUUAUGAAUAAACGCCGGCUCAAUACUACUAGUAGAGUAAUAUUGGUUGUUUUGGUAAAUGAGAUAAUAUGUGAUAUUUUGAAAUAAGUUUGUAAUAUUUUUUUCGUUUAUUUGUAUUUGUUCAUCAUAUUAAAAUUAGAUGUUCAAUAAUAAUACUUGAGUUAUUUGAAAAAUCAAUCAAUAAAUUUAUUAUUUUAUGUUUAUUUUUUACUCUUACCGCUAACUAUACUAUUAAUUACCCGUUGCAUUUCUUGACGUAUCAAAUUCAUUAAUUAUAAAAGGUGAUAUAUAUACCUACAUAUAUAUAUAUAUAUUAUUUAUUGCUUUUAUUAUUUAUUUAUCAGUACAGUGUGUCAAACCAAUUAUAGUCUAGUAAAGCAAAAAAAAAAGGAAUAGUAUUUAAUGUUUAGGAAUCGUUUGAUAGGAGGGAUAAAUUAUGAUAUUCUAAAAUUAAAUCUUAAUAGAAACUAUACUUUUUUUAGUUGGCAAAACUUUUUUCUAGACUUAAAUUAUAAAAUAUUAAACUUAAUCUUAUUUAUUAUUUGAUUAUUUUACUUUAAAUCGAAAAAUUAGUUUGAAGAAUAUAAUAUAAUCUCAAAAUAAUUUAAUUCACGUGUCAAACGAGCUCCCUUAUAAGAGUAGUUUUUUUCUUUCUUUCUUAAGUUACUUCACUUUCUUUUUUUUUUUUUCUUAUUUCUUUCACCACCUUUCUUUAAACAGCACGAAGAAAAAUAGAGACAAAUUUUUUGAGAAAGAAGAAUUUUUUUAUUUGGUGUUGAGAAAAUAGAGGAGAAAAAUGCAAGCUUACAAAGCAGCAGUAGUACCAAAUGUUACACUUAAUAAUAAUAAUAGUAGUGGUAACGCUAAUACUAUGUAUUGCCAUUCAACUUAUUAUCUCAGGUAGUAAUAUAUUUCUCUUAUUCUUUUUCAGUUUUUUUUUUUUUUUUCAUGUUUUUGAUUUUUUUGUGCAUGUUUAUGUUUCUUGUUUUUUAAGUACAUGUGUUAGUUAAGUGGUUAAAAAGAUUCAAUUUCUUACAUAUUUUUGUGGGGUUUAAGUUUUCUUGAUUUUUAAGUUUUUGUAUUAGUAAAAGGCUUAUAAAGGGCUUCAUUUGUGCAUGUUUAUGGAGUUUUAAGUUCUUGUGUUAGUAAAGGGCUUAAAUUUUUUUUAUUUUUGGAAUGUUUUGAACUUGACUUGUGCAUGUUUAUAAUUAUGGGACUUAAGUUUUCUUGAUUUUAGUAAGUUUUUGUAUGUGUAAUGGGCUUAAAAAGAUUCAUUUUUUACAUGUUUUUGUGGGGUUUAUGUUUCUUGGUUUCUAGUGAUUGUAUGUGUAAAGGGGUUUGAAAAGGUUCUACUUAUAAAUGUUUGGAGCUUGAUUUGUGCAUAUUUAAGGUGUUUUAGGUUCUUGUAUGAGUAAAUGGCUUAAAAAGAUUCAUUUUUUUCAAAUCUUUUCAGCUUGAUUUUAGCAUGUUUAUGGAGUUUCAAGUUCUUGUAUCAGUGAAGGGCUUAAAAAGAUUCAUUUUUUUACAUGUUUUCAGCUAGUAUCCGCUUUUGGGGGAAAUUACACUUGUUAUACAUGGUUAAAAUUAUUUUUAUGCUUAAUAUAGUAUAUAUUAACCCCUUUCGGCUUCUUCGCGUGUUUACUUCAUAGUUUAAAACCCCUCAGUGAAAAACUUUCUUAGGUUUUUAAGUUCUUGUGUGUUAAAAGAGCUUAAAGAUUCAUUUUUUUUUAUGUAUAUAUAAAGUAGAUGUUCUCGACCUCUUUAGAGGUAGUGGUAUGGACUGUGUACACUCUGCCUCCCCAGAUCCCACUAUGUGGGAAUAUACUGGGUUUGUUGUUGUUGUAUAUAUAAAGUAGAUGUUGAACCCCUUUAGCUUCUUCUUGUGUUUACUUCGUAUUUUGAAAUUUGUCGGUGAAAAUUCUGGCUCAACCACUAUUUAAGUUUUCUUGGUUUUUAAGUUCUUGUGUGUUAAAGGGCUUAAAGAUUUAAUUUUUAUGUGUUUGGUUGUUAUAUAGAGGUGAUGAAGCUAAUAGAAAUGCGGCGCGCUUUGCGGAUAUUGGAGAACUUGAGCAAUCUGCAGGAUUCACUCAAGAAGAUGCUGUUGAUUUAAGCAGAAGUAUCAUUUCUUUAAAUAUCUCAUUUGUUUUAUUUCUUUGAUUGUGACCUUAAAAAGU